UUUUUUUUAGUUGGUAUUAACAUGCAUUCGACCUUACUCAACAAAGUUUUUGGAGCGCUCAAAGAGGAGAGGGAAGGCCCAGCCAAAGAGUAAACCUUCCAAACGCCGUAACUCAACACCUCCUGAGUACAAGAACCUGAAGGUGGUAGAAAUCAAGCACGAGACAAACUCUACAGCUCCCUUGGAGAAUAUUUUCUUGGAAAUUUCAAAGGGAAUGCCGAAGGAAAUGCCGCUAACUCGGUGGCACCGGGUUGAAAAAUUGAGCAACACGGGUCCGAUGACGAUAUUACGAUUACGAUUAUUUAGAACAGAAAAUGGCAAAGUGAACUUGAAUUAAGUUGAUGGAGGACAUAAGGAACAUGCGUCUCUCAAAUAAAUCCAGAGAUUAACCACGGAUCUACUAGAAGGUGAGGUGGCACGGUUGGUUGGAACAUUUACAGUGCCAUCUUUGGUUGUAAGGACAUUUCAGGUCUAACUUCUGAGAGAUUUACAUGCGAGUAUGAUUAUCAUAAUUUUUGCUUUGUGAUGAUGUUGGGUAAAAACUAAAGAGUACCAUGUCUUUGCUGAGGAUAUAUGCUUUAGUUUCUUAUAACAUGGUUAUAGCUCUGGACAGAAUCGGACUCAGCCGUACUCACAACACUACAUUGAUUGUUAUCAGAAAAAAUACCUUGAUUGUACGAAUAACUAAAAACGGGGCCCAUGGUCGUUUUAAGCUAGGAAUGCUUAAAAAUCUACGAGCAUUUCUGUCAACAUGCCACUUGUCAGAUCCGAGUCGGUCUGAAGAACUAGAUUCAGACAAGUUAUCCGAAACACUCAAAUCUUAGCAACUUUAUUGGAUGAUUCCGAGAGUUUGGAUGCAAAUCAAGAGGAACCUAAGGCUAGCCAAGAACACUAGCCGCUAAGAGGGAAACCCUAAUAGAAGUGAUGAUUCUCCACCGAUCCAGAAACUGAGCUUUAUAGCCUUACAAAAUGAAGGAAAAAGUAAGAAAGUAAAACUGAACCUUUGCUGAGAAGGUAAACAGCGACGCACGUGAGAUGUACAGCCAUAUGAUGCGGGAUGGACACGAUCUAGUACAGCAAGUUUUGCUCGGCUCCGAAGAGGGAGGGGCGAUGACGGUGGCGCGCCUUUGGCUCACUUUAGUGCUUGCAGUCGUCGCUAGGUGGUCUAGAGAUCAAGAUACAAUUUUUAUUAUUUCUGGUAGUCAUUGUAUUACCAUGAUUGAGGAUGAAUAGAUUGGAAGUUUUCUCCCAAAAAAAAAGAAGUCGCGAAGCGGUACGGGUGCAGGAGGAGCGUCAGAUCGCAGAUGGACGGUACCGGGAGCUUCACACCAACAACUACGAAUUCAAAACUUAACCGAAUCUAUGUCUGCAGUGUUCUAAUUCUUCAUAUGCUCAACGCUAGGUCCUGACAACUCCCCCCCGAACAACUCCAAACAUGUCCUCAGGACUGGAACUCUGGAAAAACCUUUUGUACGAAUGCGGCGUCUUCACAAGUGGCAUCUUUCUCGUUCAUGUUACUCCAGUUGAUGAGCCAGCGCAUGACAGGAAUGUGAAUGCCACCUUGAGCUCUAGGGAUGAGUUUCCUUUCUAGUAACUUCUUUGGUUCAAGAAGAAUUGUUCCAUCAACAUUAAGUAGUGGAAGUUUUGCGUUGGGUAUUGCUUGAGGCCCUAGGUGCUUCUUUAAUUGACUAACAUGGAAAUUUGGAUGUAAUUUACAGUCAUCGGGUAAGAGCAACUUGUAGGGGACAUUUCCAACUUCCUGAAGUACUCUGAAAGGGGCAUAGUAUCUUGAGUGCAAUUUGAGAAAUAUGUGGAUGCUCAAGGUAGUAUGUCUGUAUGGUUACAGUUUUAGAUAUACCAUAUCUUCUAUCUCUAGGGUCCUUUUAGACCUCUUUUUGUCAGCAUGAUGUAUCAUCCUUUCUUGUAUUCCCAACAAAUUUUCUUUUAUCUGGGCUGAAGUCUGUUCUGCAGUAAGGACAAAUGAGAAAUCUUCCACUUGUUCAGUUGGAUAGAGAGCAGCUUCAAAGAUCAUAUUGAGAGGUCUAUUGUGUAGAGCUUGGAAAGGAGUGAUUUCAGAUAAGUAUGGUAGCUAGUGUUAUACCACCAUUCUGCGAGGGAGAGCCAAUGCAUCCAUUUCUUUGGCUGUAAGAAACCCAUGCACCUGAGGUAGGUUUCCAAGCAUUGAUUAACUCUUUCAGUUUGGCCAUCAGAUUGAGGAUGAUAAAAAGUGUUCAUCUGCAACUUAAUGCCCAUAAGUGUUGAAGAUCAUAUUUGUAUCAGUUACAAUAACUGAAGGUAAUCCAUGUAGUCUGAAGAUGUUGUUAGUAAAUGCUUUGGCCACAGAGUUGACAAUAAUUGGGUGCUUCAUUAGGAUGAAAUGGCCAUACUUUGUGAAUCUGUCCACCACCACUAAUAUCAAGUCCUUAUUGCAUAAUGUGGCAAGGCCUUCCACGAAGUCCAUGCUUAUGUGACACCAGGCAAAGUCGGGGAUGGGCAAGGGCUGUAGCAGACCAGGUUAUUUGCAAUGUUCAGGUUUACUAAUCAAACAUGUUGGGCAUUGCUUAAUGAAGUCUACAAUGAAUUAUUUCAUGCCUAGCCAAUGGAAGAGAAGCUUCACUCUUUGAUAAGUAGCUCUAUGUGCAGAAUGUCCUCCAAUUUCAGAAUUGUGCAAUGCAAGCGCUAAUUUAGUUUCGAGAUCAGUGUUAUUUCUACUAACAAUUCUAUUUUUUGUAUCUUAAGAUGUCCUGUUGUAAAACAUAAUUUGGGAUAGUAGCUGGCGUAAUUUCUAGUGGUCAUGUGCAUAAUUUGCAACUACUUCGGAUAUCCAGGCAGGUCUUGCAGUACCGGCCAUAGGCGAGUUCAGUUUGUACUUGACUCUAGACACACUAUCAGCAACUUUGUUGUUCUCUUGUUUGUACUCCAUUUUGAAGUUGUGGCCCAAGAUCUUGAUUAACAAUUUGUGUUGAAUCCCUUCAGUGAGUUUUUGUUCUUGUAUAUAUUUCAAGCUCUGUUGGCCGGUCCUUAUAAUCGGUGAGGAUGCAGCAAAGUAAUGUUUCCAGCGCUUCAAUUAUGGCUAGAGCCUCCUUAUCAUAUGUUGACAUUGCUGCAAUUUUAGGGUCAAUAAUAGUCUUGCUAAAGAAUGAGAAUGGCCUUCCAUCUUGCAUUACUACAACCUGUAUUCCAUAAGCACAUACACCCUUUUCUUGGAUAAAAGCUUUAGAGAAAACAAGGAAGGAAAGCACAAGGUCUUGGGUCAUCUUGUCUUUCAAAAUAUUAAAAGCUUCCAUCUGUUCAGUGCCCCAUUGGAAAUUAUCCAUCUCCAGGGACUGAAACAAGAGUUUGCAAAUAAACCAUAGUUUUGUAUGAACCUCUUGUAGUAACUAGUGAGACCAAGGAAGCCUCUUAGCUGAGUUGCAUUUUCUGGAGUGGGCCACUGAACUAUGGCCUCAAUCUUGAUCGGGUCUGUGGCAACUCCAUCACCUCUAAUGACAUGUCCCGGGUACUCAACCUGAGGUUGUGCAAAGGUGCACUUGCUGAUUUUUUGCAUAUAACUGGUGAGAUUAAAGUACCUCCAGAACUCGUCGCAGAUGGAUGAGAUGCUCCUUCAUAUUUCCAUUGUAUAUUAGUAUGUCAUCAAAGAAAACCAUUACAAAUUUUCUAAGGAAUAGUGCUAGGACUGCAUUCAUCAACAGUUGGAAAGUGGUAGGUGCAUUUGUCAGGCCAAAGGGCAUGACAAGGUAUUCAUAACGGCCACAAUCUGUAUUGAAUGCAGUUUUUCUGAUGUCUUCUUAUAGCAUUUUUAUCUGAUGAUAGCCACUUCUCAGGUCCAAUUUAGUGAAUACAGUGACCCUUUUAAUUCAUCAAUCAAAUCUUCUAUGACAGGUAUUGGGUACUUAUUUUUGAUUGAUUGCUAGUCAUAAAUUUUGAGUUCACAAAUUCGUGACAAAGUGUAGAGAUAAAUUGGCCAUAUUUUUCAUAUUUUAUAUGGGUACAUGGUAUGUGUAUGGGUUAUACGAUCCAUACCUGUACCCGCUUUACCCGAUGGGUUUCAGAUUUCCCUAUUUAUAUACCCAUGGAUAACUUUGUUGGGGAACGCGGUAAUUUCAAAAAAAAUCCUACGCACAUGCAAGAUCAUGGUCAUGCAUAGCAACGAGAGGGAAGAGUGUUGUCUACGUACCCUCGUAGACCGUAAGCGGAAGCGUUAUGACAACGCGGUUGAUGUAGUCGUACGUCUUCAUGAUCGACCGAUCCUAGCACCGAAGGUACGGCACCUUCGCGAUCUGCACACGUUCGGCUAGGUGACGUCCCACGAACUCAAGAUCCAAUAGAGUGUCGAGGGAGAGCUUCGUCAGCACGACGGCCUAAUGACGGUGAUGAUGAUACUACCGAAACAGGGCUUCGCCUAAGCACCGCUAUGAUAUGACCAAGGUGGAUUAUGGUGGAGGGGGGCACCGCACAUGGCUAAGAGAUCAAUGAUCGACUUGUGUGUCUAUGUGGUGCCCCCCUCCCCCGUAUAUAAAGGAGUGAAGGAGGGGGAGGGGCCUGUUGGGGAACAUAGCAGAAUUUUAAAAUUUUCUACGCAUCACCAAGAUCAAUCUGGAGUCAUCUAGCAACGAGGGAGAGGGGACUGCAUCUACAUACCCUUGUAGAUCGCGAGCGGAAGCGUUCAAGAGAACGGGGUUGAUGGAGUCGUACUCGUCGUGAUCCAAAUCACCGAUGACCUAGCGCGAACGGACGGCACCUCCGCGUUCAACACACGUACGGUUGGGGAAGACGUCUCCUCCUUCUUGAUCCAGCAGCGGGAAGGAGAGGUUGAUGGAGAUCCAGCAGCACGACGGUGUGGUGGUGGAAGCAGCAGUGAUCUCGGCAGGGCUUCGCCAAGCUCCAAUGAGUGAGAGAGAGAGAGGUGUUACAAGGGGAGAGGGAGGCGCCAGGGACUUGGGUGCGGCUGCCCUCUCUCCUGAAUCGUUGUUGUCCUAAUGCAAUAAAAGAGAGCAGGAGCGAGAGAGUAGGAUUGUAUCGGAAUGAGCAAGGGGGUUUUGCUUGCCUGGCACUUCUGAAGAUGAUAUAGCUCUUCAUCGGUGUCAUCGAUCACAUCGUCGAAACCACGUCUACUGAGAGGGGACAAACACCGGCAAACGAGAGGGAACACAAUCAAUGCAAUGCACAUUAUGAUGCAUGAUCAUGACAUGUCAAUAUGCUGUGAUUUGAGCUAAUGUAACUAAAACCAGAUUAGAUGAAGUUGGUUUGAACCAAAGAUUCAAAUUCAAAUCCAUAUGUGAUUAUUUAAAUUCCACUUAUUUGAUUUGACCUGAUCAGCAGGCAUAAGUUGUUCAAACAUGCAUGAUAAUGCCAUAAUCAGAUUCUUUGGAUUUUUCUGAUCAUUUUUCAUAUAUAAAUUAUUUGAUUUGGAGCUACAGUUGAUUUUCUAUGAUUUUUAGAAGUUUAGGAUAUUUUCUGAAAUAAAUAAAUCAUUUCUGAUUUAUUUAAAAUCCAGAAAACAGAUUACUGUGUCAGCAUGACAUUAGGGUGACAUUAGUAGGUCAACACACCAGGUCCAGGUCAAACCUGACCCGUGGGACCCGCACGUCAGUGUAAUAGGGCAGGGACAGAGGCUGACUGGUGGGUCCGGGUCAACGAUGACGUGGCAUGGUCAAACUGACAUGUGGGGCCGACUAUAUUAAUCUAAACUUAACAGGGAAUAAAACCCAACAUUAAUUAAGACAUGGGACCCAUAGUCAGUGAGAGAGGGGGUUCGUUAGUGGCGUCAUUAGCCACUAAUGACGGCGCCACGUCGGCGUGGCCGGAGUUAAACCGCCAGCGACCUUCCCGUGCGGCGGAGUCCACACGGGACGGCGCUACAGGAGGUGGUUGAGCGAGAGAAGAGCACAGGGAGGAGGCCCUUGCUCGCGCGCAUCCAGUGGAGUAGGUGGGAGGUCGCGGGGUGGUCGGAGCUCGCCGGAAGUGGGCUCGCGGCGGCGCCGGAGUUCGGGUGAGUGUGGGGUUGGCGAUGUGGUGCACGGGAGGGUGAGUUAGCAUGUGAGUUAGGCUCCUGGUGGCUUCCUGAGCGUGGUGACGCGCUCCGAAUCGAGCUCAAGCGACUGCAGUGACGGCGGCGACAUGGCCGGCGGCAGGAGUUAUCGGCUCCGAUGGCCGUGGUGGUUAGAGGACGCGGACGAGCGCGGGGAGAGAGGGGAAAGGGGCAGGUGCUCACUGGGAGUCGCAGGAGCUGGUCGUCGGGCUCGGGGGCGACUUGACGGCGAUGGAUCGACGACGAAGAACGGCGUCAACCGAGGUUGAAGACAGAGGCGAAGACGGCGUUUGGUGGCGUUUGGAGUCGCGUGAGUCAAUAGAGAGGCAUCAGCGACGGUGGUGGAGCUCCUGGGCAUGUCGGAGAGGCGAGGGUGUGGCUCUGGGCACGAUGGCAGAGAACGGCGGCGGCGGUCGCUCUUGGGUGAGCUCGGGGAAGAGGCUAGAGGGCGAAGGAGAGAGCAGAGAGUGAGGGAAGAGGCAGAGGGGGCUGCGGGGCGUCUCUAGACGCGGGGUCAGGGAGAGGGACGGGCCUCCAGCGCGAAGCAGGAGGUGGCCGUAGCUGCGCGUGUGUCGACACGCACCUGCUCCUACUGGCAGGAGGAAGACGACGCGGUGACGGUAGGUGGGCUGGACCAGGUAGGUGGGCCGCCAGGUGGGUGCGGGUAAGAGACCCGGUGGCCUUUCAUUUUUCUUUUGUUUCUGUUUUUCUAUUCUGUUUUUCUGUUUUGUUUUGUUUUGCCACUGUUUAAACUCAAAACAAAUUCAAAUCAGUGCCAAAACUUUCUAUAAAUACCUAUGUGGCUUAUAUGGACUUUUCCAAGUGCACACAAAUAUUUCUGAUACAUUUGAAAAUAUAUUCUAUAUAUUAGAAAUAUAAAUUCAAAUUCAAAUACAAUAUGAUUUAAUUUCAGUGCCCAAAAUAUUCCUUAAAAAUGUUCAAUAUUUUUGGUUUGGAUCCAAAGCCUUGCCAAAAUUAGCAAACAUUGAUGAAGGGUACUUUGGUUCAUUGAAAGCAUUUUUUACUAGACCUAAUUGAAUUUCAAAGUGCUAGGGUUUAAUCAAUCCCCAUUUCAAAUUCAAAUAUAAUUUAAACAUGGUGCAACAAGAUGCAAAACACCAGGCACUACCAGAAGCUAGGGAUGUGACAACUCACCCCCACUAAACAAGAAUCUCGUCCCGAGAUUCAAGACGUGAGGUAAGUAGAAAGAGGGGACACAAAGAUAACACGAUCUCAUGAUCCAAAUUGUCCUUCUCGAAGAUGUUGAUUUAUUCCUUCAAAUUGAUCUUGACGUCCUUGCUUUUGAUAUCUUCAUCCAACUAUGAUGAGGGAACAGAGGAAACUCGACAGAAUUCGAUCUUCACAAAGAUCAAGCGAUACACAAUCAACUCAUGGAAUGAGGCGAAAGAACGUCUCUUGAGCCGAGACACAAGUCACACAUCAGGAGGGUGAUGGAGAAGCAGAUGACGAAGGUUCAAUUUGGUAGGCAACAAUCCCACGCUUGAAAGGAUGGUGGAUGCAUUUCAAAUUAACAAGGAGCUAAAUUGCCAUGAUUCCAUAACGGGGCACCUAGAGUAGGUGGCUCGUUGAAUUAUUCCCUUAAGUGGCAAAAAGAAUUACUUUUGAUCCAUAGACCAUUGGAACUCUUCAUACCAGCCCGAGGCAAUUCGCAAUUGAUCGUUUGGCGGAGUAAGUAGGGAUGGCAUACCCAGACUAGAAUGGAUGAUGUGGACUACCUUGUUGAAGACAACGCAAGGGAUGAUUUUGCUUGCGCGUGCUCUCAAGAACUUGAGCAUUUCCAUAUUCAUCAAGGUUCUACCAACAUCCGUGCCGAGGAUCCUGGCAACACAUCUUACUACCAUGAUGAAUAGUGAUGGUCAAUGCAGAUACAAAGGAGGGCAACACUUUCUCAGAUUUCACCUUAGCGAUGCCAAGGAAACGAAAUCUAGAUGUUCGACUGAGAGACAUUUAGCACUCCGCUUCUAAUGUUCUCCUUGAUGUGCUAGCGUAACCCAUUUAUAGAUAUGGUUUGGUAUCUUGAACAUCAAGUAAAAGGUCGGACUUCGGGAGCACAAGAAUCCAUAAGGAAUAACUACUGGAGUAAAUCCUACAAAAUCCUUACGGGGAGGUGGCCAACUUCCUCAAUCAAGAUACUACAAUGAUAGGUCUUCCGGCUGGGUGUGUUGGCCACGAUAUCCACCUUACCAGUUUAGAAAGACCAACAUUAUAAUUCCUGGGAAAAGGUCCAACCAUCAUAUCUGCCUGAGAUUCAGAUCUGGUUGUUGUCAGGAUAUUCCAGACUCAUCAAGUCUAGAGAGAAAAACGAAAGUUUGCAACACAAGUUGACGAGAUGACGUUGCAGGAUUCUCGGGAAAUAGACUAUGGUGGUAAGCUCCAAAACAUGAGCCAGUUCUGCUACAAACAUGUGAACACGCUGUCCCAGACAAGCAUGACCACGUAGUAGUCUUACAACGAAACACUAUCAAGUUCAGGUGGGAACCAUCAUUGUGGAUAACAAAGUCCUUGAUUAAGCCCGGGUUAGCUCUUAAAAAGGAACUUCUUAUCCUUGAACUAAUCAAUCAGUGGCUUGGUGUGCUAGGAACACCUAUGGAGUGGAGGUAAUUAAUCUACCAAACCAUAGAGUACUUCGCACGAAUGCAUGACUGACUUGGAAUGAUUCGAAAGGAAACAAAACAAACCUUUCUCAAAUUCAUGGCGGCAACUUACACCUAAUGCACGUGAACUGGGAGAAGGUCACUUCUUUCGUCCAAGCAUAAGCUUCAUGAACGGAACACGAAGGCAUUGCUUACAAAGUUUUCAACACCAGGUUGAUGUUCAACAUGAAUCAUGGGGGAGACAAAAUGCUGCUGAUGGGCUCAACAGCAACUCAUCGGAAUUUCCAUAUCACUGGACUUCCACCAUCAUGUGAACACGGUGAUAGCAUUGGUCAGACCAAAGGAUGUAAUAGUGUAUGCUCGAGGAAUCAACCUCGAGUAAGACAACAUUACGAACAUCGUUGGUUCUGAUUUGAUUUUAGGAUAGCCCACACUCAAAACAAAGUUUGGACAAGACAAUAGAUCCAACAAGUGAUCAUGAGGACCAAUCGAUGAAGAUAUAAUCUUUCUUCAACACACACACACAAAAGAUAUCCCUUGACACGAACUAAGUCAGACAAGCUUUUAUCUUCCAACUCUCCAAGUUGUCGUUUAGCUUAACCAACUAGCUCAGGGGUAUGCAACACAGAUUCUGGGAGAAAGGGUGGUUACAAGAAACCAACUUGAUCACGAACUCAACAUAGCGAUCAGGUGACAACCUGGUAACACUUCCGAGAAGACAUUUGGAAAAUCACGAACCACCGAAAUGUUAUUAAGCUCGGGAGCAAUCUUGCUUUUGAGGCAAGAUGAUAUGAUUAAAUAAGAAAGGGAUUGAAUAAUCCUAACUCAUUGAUCAAAGAGUGCACCAGAAAUAAGGACUAGGUAGCACGAUCAAUCUUAGGAUGAUGAUUUAAUAACCAACACGCUAAGAAUGAAUUAUUGUCCAUCAACUACCAAGCAACGGGGUUGCUAGGAGUAUUGAUUUCACACAUCAUAGUUCACUUGUCGGCAUUCCGGUUACAACAACACGGGAUCGAAGAAUGAAUAAUGAUGGCGAGAAGUAUCACUGCAUCAAGAAUUCAUAAGAUGUGGUGCAAUUCUCAUGACACUCUUGACGUUAAGAUGGUAACACUCCAAGGUAGAACAGAACAAAAGCUGGAAUUGCUAUUUGAUCUGCAGAGUACAACUACUUUGACCCAAUCCUGGAUAUGGAUGAGGUACUUGAGUUUGUUUCUCCUAGUCAAUCUGAAUAGGAUGGCUUGACGGGCCACAAGAAUAAUAGACGUCGAUGAACACGAAUGCACAACUAGUCCUGACUAUCAAUUGAUAGAUGAGGGUCAGAAAACAACGGAGGAGGAAGAACUCGAAUGAACAUAUAUCUUUCUGAGUUGUGGAUGCAUAGAUUAAUAUGUCGAACCAAGUUCAACAGGUUUCUUCCAGAUAACCCAUGCAGGAAGGUAGAACUGGCAGAAUCACAAUUAUGAAUGGAGAACUCCUCAAGAGUACUCUGAUUGUGAUAUUUCGGUUCGAAGAACUUCUGCCUUAAUGGUUCAUGGUAUUUGGAAGAAAGAAAUACCACAGACCUCGAGGACUGUCGCAAGGUUACUAAUAUCCUAAGGAAUGAGCAAACACCAUCAUCAGAAGGUAAGUAGGGUGAAUCUCGGGUUCAAGAACCCAGAAAUAGAAUACCUACUACUAAAUGGCAUCAUGGGAUGCUUUCGAGAAUGGUGGCCAGAAUCAUCACACUGGGAACAUUAAGCAUUGCUAGAUUACUGGGUGGUUCUCUAGGACACCUAGGGUCAUAAUAAUAGCUUCAACAUAUAUAUCGAGGCAAUGGAGUACCUCAGCACACUAGUUGGUGUGACUAAUCUGGCCCAAAUAGACAUCAGGAACAUGGAGGAAUGAUUGCAAGUGCAUCAGACUAUCUAGAAACCUAGGAUGACUCGGAUAGCAUAAUGGCUGUAAAUGCUCAAAAAGAUUGGGACAUUCUGCAAAAAUGGUGGCAUAACCACUCAGAGUCACAAUAUCAAGGUUUCGAGAUCAACUGUCAACAUACUGAAGUAGUAGAAACUGAACUGAGGCUUGGAACCAACAAUACUAUAAGAGUCUACGGAUUAGCAACACGUGAACCUGAUAGAAAGAAUAGAAAGCCUAGUUUCCUUAACCCCGUAAGAAAGAUAGGAUGACUCGGAUCAGAAGGGCAUGAGGUAAAGGAAUAAAAAGAGCCUUAUGUUCCCUUCCACAAUCAAUUCCCUUAUAUAGCUAAAGCAUUUCUAGACACGACUUCGACCAGUUUGGCUUGGUAAUCCUACAGGCAGUCAGGCUCUGAUACCAAAGCUGUCAGAACCCCGAUUCCAAAUCACAUCGAUCUAGCCGGUAACACCUCAUAUCACUUUGCGGCCUCACGCAUGGUAUUCCCACGGGUGUCGCCUUACCAUGGCCCGGGACCGUUUGCGCCUUUUGGCUCACGCAUAUGAUAGUGUCGCUAGCAUCCAUAUGACAGAGAACCCGGGCCGACAUGGCUAGUCGUGAACCCAAAGCGGCACCAACCUAUGGGGACAGGCAUACAUGAAUCACAUCGAGCAUGUCGGUCAGCAACGUGUGAAUCCAGGUUGUAGCACUGGGCUAACAGGACUCCAGGAACCCGGGCUGUAGCAGGCUAGGCAGGACUCCGGAUGUCUCCGCGUGACAUUUCCCCGAAGGGACAGACACAGGAAUGAAGUGAAAUACAUGCCGGCCAGUCAAGUGUCCUGAGCAGUAGUGCUGGGCUAGCAAGACUCCGGUGAACCGGGCUGUAGCGGACUACUAUGGCUCAUGGAAGCACUAGACUACAUUUCCCCAUAAGAGAGGCUGCCAAGGAUAAACAACUAGAUUGUCGGACCCCACACAUACCAAGCAUUUCAAUCAUACACACAAUAUGCUCGAUAUGUGUAAAUACAACAUGGCAUCACAACAUAACUCUACGACUCAAGUAUUUAUUCAUUAGGCUCCGAGGAGCGAGAUAUUACAAACAUGGGUCUCAUGACCCAACAAUCAUAGCAUACAAAUCAAAGCACAUGCGGAAGCUUAACAUGUCUAAGUACAGACAUCUACAAAUGAAAAAGGCUAAGAAGCCUGACUAUCUACCAGAUCCUGCUGAGGGCACAAUAUCGUAGUUGAGCUAUCAAGCUAAACGUCGAAGUCCACACGGAACUACUAGCGAGACUGAAUUCUCUCUGCAAAACAUAAAUUAAGCAAACAUGAGUACAAAAGUACUCAGCAAGACUUACAUCAGAAUUAGCUACAUAUGCAUCGGCAUCAACAAAGGGAUGGUGGGGUUUAACUGCAGCAAGCCAGCUUUGACUCAGUGGCUAACCUGAACUACGACUGCAAGCAACUCUUUUGAGGUGGCGCACAUGAGUCCACAUAUUCACCAUAUCAAUACACCACUAUGGAUCCGCUCCCGUCUACCUACGAGAACGCCAUCCAUAGCACUCACGCUUAUCUUACGCAUUUUAGAGUAUCCACUCCCACUUGUCUAUGAACUGUUAUAGGCAACCCAGAAGUCCUUUACCGCGGAUGCGGCUAUUCGAAUAGUUUUAUACCCUGCAGGGGUGUACUUCGUCACACAUGUUUCCACCACUUAGCGUCUGCACAUGACAUGUGCUCGGCAGACUUCAAGCGAAAGCCGACGUGGGUGUAGACCACGACCUGACUAACCGAACAAGUCUCUAGUCCAGGUUUAUCGCCUAUUCGGGUUCCAUCCGCAAGGAAAUCCGGCUGGGGUGUCCUCAACGGCCCCAAACGAUGUGUACAGGUUCCCGAGACGCCAAACGGGCGCCCGGCAUACCCGGCCACGGUGUAUCUACCGCAUCAUAGCCCACCCCUAGGGUCAGCGCUACGCACAGCCGCCAACACAUAACCUAUAAACACCAGAAACUAGUUGCAACUCCUGGACAGAGGACGAGAGGGGUUAGUAAGUCGAGCGGGGUCAUAUUUCAGGGCUCAAUGUGUGGUAGUAGCUAUUUCAUGGAUCACAAACAUAGAACUCAGUUCCUAAGGACGGCUUCAAUGAAACAACCCACCAUGUACUCCUACAUGGCCUCUCAUCAAUACCUUUACCAAAUCAUGUUCACACACUUAGCUCUCAACAGUAAGACAUGUUCACACACCUCCGAUUCAUCCCCGAUGAAUCAGACCUGACACAACUCUAUGCAAUAGCAGGCAUGACAAACAAGCAUGAAUGAGUAGGCACAUCAGGGCUCAAACAACUCCUACUCAUGCUAGUGGGUUUCAUCUAUUUACUGUGGCAAUGACAGGUCAUGCAGAGGAUAAGGGGUUCGACUACCGCAGCAAGUAACAGAUGAAUCGGUGUUGUCCUAAUGCAGUAAAAGAGAGCAGGAGCGAGAGAGUGGGAUUGUAUCGGAAUGAGCAAGGGGGUUUUGCUUGCCUGGCACUUCUGAAGAUGAUAUAGCUCUUCAUCGGUGUCAUCGAUCACAUCGUCGAAACCACGUCUACUGAGAGGGGACAAACACCGACAAACGAGAGGGAACACAAUCAAUGCAAUGCACAUUAUGAUGCAUGAUCAUGACAUGUCAAUAUGCUAUGAUUUGAGCUAAUGUAACUAAAACCAGAUUAAAUGAAGUUGGUUUGAACCAAAGAUUCAAAUUCAACUCCAUAUGAGAUUAUUUAAAUGCCACUUAUUUGAUUUGACCUGAUCAGUAGGCAUAAGUUGUUCAAACAUGCAUGAUAUGUAACGCCCUCGAUGCGGCUAUAGCUCCCACGUGUCGAGGCACGACUUAGAGGCAUAACCGCAUUGAAAGCAAUGUCGCAAGUCAGGCAAUCAUUACAACAUCCCAUGUAAUACAUAAUAAAGGGGGAGAUAACAUAGUUGGCUUACACUCGCCACGUCACAUCAGAGUACAUAAAUAACAUCCAUCAAACAAGCACUCAUGGCCCGACUACGGCGCCAAAAUAGAAAAGACCCCCAACAUGCGACAAGGUCCUGAAUCGAUAACCCCAACUAGGCACCACUACUGAUCAUCCGGAAAAGAUACGUAGUAUCGCUGAGAGUCCUCGUCGAACUCCCACCUGAGCUCGUAAUCGUCAACUGGAGCAGAAUCACCUGGACCUGCAUCUGGAGUAGUAGUAUCUGUGAGCCACAGGGACUCAGCAAUCUCACACCCACGCGAUCAAGACUAUUUAAGCUCAUAGGAAUGGAUAAGGCCAAUAUGUGUGGAGCUGCAGCAAGCGACUAGCAUAUGUGGUGGCUAACUUAUACGCAAAAGAGAGCGAGAAGAGAAGGCGAAGCUCGAGCGAGAAGCUAAAGGAACAUCCUGCGCAAGCAUAACUCCAACACCGUGUCCACUUCCCGGACUCCACCGAGAAGGGGCCAUCACGGUAACACACACGGUUGAUUCAUUUUAAUUAAGUUUAAUUAAAGUUAUCUACAACCGGACAUUAACAAAUUCCCAUCCGCCCAUAACCGCGGGCACGGCUUUCGAAAGAUCAAUCCCUGCAGGGGGGUCCCAACUUAGCCCAUAACAAGCUCUCACGGUCAACGAAGGAAUAGACCUCCACCCAAGACACACCGAUCAGACUCGGUAUCUCGGUACAACAAGAUGAUUCGGCAGGUUAAAACAAGUCCAGCAACACCGCCCGAAUGUGCCGACAAAUCCCGAUAGGAGCUGCACAUAUCUCUUUCUCAGGGCACGCUCGGAUAGGUCAAGCUACGAGUAAAACCAAACCUCAAGUUUCCCCGAGGUGGCCCCGCAGGCUGCCUGGUUCGGACCAACACUCAGAGGAGCACUGGCCCGGGGGGUUAAAAUAAGAUGACCCUCGGGCUCCGGAAACCCAAGGGAAAAAGAGGCUAGGUGACAAAUGGUAAAACCAAUGUUGGGCAUUGCUGGAAAAGCUUUAAUCAAGACGAACUAUCAAGGGGUUCCCAUUAUAGCCCAACCGCGUGAGGGACGCAACAAUCCGGGAACAUAACACCGAUAUGACGGAAACUAGGGCGGCAAGAGUGGAACAAAACACUAGGCGAGAGGCCGAGCCUUCCACCCUUUAUCAAGUAUAUAGAUGCGUUAAGAUAACAUAGCAAUAUAAUGAUAUCCCAACAAGCAAUAUAAAUGUACCAACAAGGAACGGCUCCAAUCUUCACCUGCAACUAACAACGCUAUAAGAAGGGCUGAGCAAGCGGUAACAUAGCCAAUCAAUGGUUUGCUAGGACAAAGGUGGGUUAGAGGUUCAACAUGGCAAUUGGGAGGCUGACAAGCAAAAGGUAGGCAUCGAAGCAGUGGCAAGCAAAAGAGCGAGCAAACUAGCAUAGCAAAGAUAGUAGUGAUUUCGAGGGUAUGAUCAUCUUGCCUGCACAGUUGUCAGAGUUGACUGGAUCCUCACAAGCAAACUCAACGGGCUCCUCGGUAGCAAACUCGUCUCCCGGCUCUACCCAACAAGACAAACAAGCAACAAGGAUACAAUCAACCACGGGCAAGACCAAGCAAUAUGAUGAAAUGACGAUAUGCUAUGCGGGAUGCGAUGCGGGAUGCAAAAUGCAAGAUAUGACAGGAAAUGCAUGAACCUGGCAUCAACUUGGAAAACCAAGUGUGCCACUGGAUAGAGGGGAUGAAAUCGCUUGAAAACGAUAUAAAGAUCAUAGGAAUCGGAGCUAUGGUUUGGAAAUGGCAAGCGUUUUAAGAUAUGACACCGGUCUGCGAUUUACAGCAAGUAGGCAUCUAAAUGCAACGAAAAGAACAUGCUACAGCCACCAAACAUGAAAACAAAAUAUAUGGCAGUGAUGUACACAAGAUGGUUGACAAAACACUAGCACUGAGCCAUAGGCAAAUUCAUCCAUUAAGAGGUUCAAACAAGCAUGGCUAAAACGCAAAUGCAAAACAGAUUUCAGACUUAGUGAAAUUAACACUAGUCUGAAAUUUCAGAUCACGAAGCCCUCUUCGAAGCAGCAAACAACAUGAUAGAAAACCUGAACAUGACAAGUAAGAACAUGGCAUGGAGCUACUCAACAAGCUUAACAAAACACCCAAAGUGACCUGGGGCCAAAAGGGUUCACAAAAUACUCUACCGAGCUCACGAACAUCGCUCGAACACAAUCAGUUUUUAGACUUAGAGAAAACUGAGACAUGCUGAAAUUUAACUCACGAAGGCAUGUAAACGAGCUCGAUGCACUCACUACGGUGCAAGUCAUGGCAAGGAAAUCAUAUCACCAGCAAGAAGGCACAAAGUGCUAGCUACACAUGGCAAGAACGAAGGCAUAGCAUGCAUGGAACGUUAACGGUAGCAUCGGCGAAAUCGCAAACAAGUUGACGAUCUGCCCAGAUUAACAAUGAAGCAAAAGUUGAGCUCGAUUGAGUCAACCUAGAGCACUCCACAAAUGCAAACAAAGACAUGGAUGGAUAGAGCAUAACAUAAGUAUCAAAACUCCCUUACUGAUCAUCCUCAAAAGAGGCACGGAUCACUAGGAAACAAGCUGGACAUAUAGCAUCAUGAACUAAAAUAUCCCAGACUUAGUGAAAAUCACUAAGUCCCUGAAAUCUGCAUUCUCAGGUACCCUACUUCGCAAGCUUGCACAAGACAACACACACAUCCUAAAAAUGCAUGGGUGGCACCUCUGGAAAGAAGACAAAAUGCUUCACAAUACAUCCCAAAGGGGCACAGGCAUAUCAUGCACGAAUUAAAUAUAGCAAAAAUGACAAAAGUGCAUGAUGAACUAACGGAUCUGCAAUUUAACUCACGAAGCCUACUUCUAACAGCAUUUUGGGUAUCAAGAUGACCUCAAAUGCAAAUGAUGCAAUGGAAUGAAAUGAUGUACAUGUCGAGACGAAGAUUUUGAUAUAUCAUACGCCCAAAACGGGGCUACGGUUGUGGAGAUACAAGCAGUCAAAGAUAGCACGAAAAUUAGGGUUUCGGGGGAGAGAGGUCAACCGAAAUAUCCCAGAUCCAGAUCUGGAUCGGGCACGGACUCCGAGGCGGCGGCGGGGAACACUGUAGCUGGCCGGACUUGGCCGCCGGAGUCGCGGGAGGAGGCGGCCGGGGCGNNNNNNNNNNNNNNNNNNNNNNNNNNNNNNNNNNNNNNNNNNNNNNNNNNNNNNNNNNNNNNNNNNNNNNNNNNNNNNNNNNNNNNNNNNNNNNNNNNNNNNNNNNNNNNNNNNNNNNNNNNNNNNNNNNNNNNNNNNNNNNNNNNNNNNNNNNNNNNNNNNNNNNNNNNNNNNNNNNNNNNNNNNNNNNNNNNNNNNNNNNNNNNNNNNNNNNNNNNNNNNNNNNNNNNNNNNNNNNNNNNNNNNNNNNNNNNNNNNNNNNNNNNNNNNNNNNNNNNNNNNNNNNNNNNNNNNNNNNNNNNNNNNNNNNNNNNNNNNNNNNNNNNNNNNNNNNNNNNNNNNNNNNNNNNNNNNNNNNNNNNNNNNNNNNNNNNNNNNNNNNNNNNNNNNNNNNNNNNNNNNNNNNNNNNNNNNNNNNNGGGUGUAUAUAUAGGCAUAGAGGGAGCUAGGAGAGUCCAAAUGAGGUGCGGUUUUCGCCCACACGAUCGUGAUCGAACGCUCUAGGACAUGGAGCAGAGUUUGGUGGGUUUUGGGCCAAAUUUGGGGGGUGUUGGGCUGCAACACACACGAGGCCUUUUCGGUCCCUCGGUUAACCGUUGGAGUAUCAAACGAAGUCCAAAUGACCCGAAACUUGACAGGCGGUCUACCGGUAGUAAACCAAGGCCGCUUGGCAAGUCUCGGACCAAUCCGGAAAUGUUUAAUCCCCACACGAGAAAGAAAGGUAGAAAUGACCACCGGAGGAGAACGAAACGCCGGAAUGCAAAACGGACAACGGGGAAAAUGCUCGAAUGCAUGAGAUGAACAUGUAUGCAAAUGCAAUGCACGUGAUGACCUGAUAUGAGAUGCAUGAAAACGAAAACAACACACACGAAGACAAAGACCCAACCCGAGAAAUAAAUAUAACUUAGCGCCGGAGACGGCAAGAGUUGGAUACAAAUAUGGAAAGUUACAUCUGGGGCGUUACAUGAUAAUGCCAUAAUCAGAUUCUUUGGAUUUUUCUGAUCAUUUUUCAUAUAUAAAUUAUUUGAUUUGGAGCUACGGUUGUUUUUCUACGAUUUUUAGAAGUUUAGGAUAUUUUCUGAAAUAAAUAAAUCAUUUCUGAUUUAUUUAAAAUCUAGAAAAUAGAUUACUGUGUCAACAUGACAUCAGGGUGACAUCAGCAGGUCAACACACUAGGUCCAGGUCAAACCUGACUCGUGGGACCCGCACGUCAGUGUAAUAGGGCAGGGACAGAGGCUGACUGGUGGGUCCGGGUCAACGAUGACGUGGCAUGGUCAAACUGACAUGUGGGGCCGACUAUAUUAAUCUAAACUUAACAGGGAAUAAAACCCGGGGUUAAUUAAGACAUGGGGCACAUAGUCAGUGAGAGAGGGGGUUCGUUAGUGGCGUCAUUAGCCACUAAUGACGGCGCCACGUCGGCAUGGCCGGAGUUAAACCGCCAGCGACCUUCCUGCGCGGCGAAGUCCACACGGGACGGCGCUACAGGAGGCGGCUGAGCGAGAGAAGAGCACAGGGAGGAGGCCCUUGCUCGCGCGCAUCCAGCGGAGUAGGUGGGAGGUCGCGGGGUGGUCGGAGCUCGCCGGAAGUGGGCUCGCGGCGGCGCUGGAGUUCGGGUGAGUGCGGGGUUGGCGCUGUGGUGCACGGGAGGGUGAGUUAGCGUGUGAGUUAGGCUCCUGGUGGCUUCCUGAGCGCGGUGACGAGCUCCGAAUCGAGCUCAAGCGACUGCAGUGACGGCGGCGACAUGGCCGGCGGCAGGAGUUAUCGGCUCCGAUGGUUGUGGUGAUUAGAGGACGCGGACGGGCGCGGGGAGAGAAGGGAAAGGGGCAGGUGCUCACUGGGAGUCACAGGAGCUGGUCGUCGGGCUCGGGGGCGACUUGACGGCGAUGGAUCGACGACGAAGAACGGCGUCAACCGGGGUUGAAGACGGAGGCGAAGACGGCGUUCGGCGGUGUUUGGAGUCGCGUGAGUCAACAGAGAGGCGUUGGAGACGGUGGCGGAGCUCCUGGGCAUGUCGGAGAAGCGAGGGGGUGGCUCUGGGCACGGUGGCAGAGAACGGCGGCGGCUGUCGCUCUCGGGUGAGCUCGGGGAAGAGGCUAGAGAGCAAAGGUGAGAGCAGAGAGUGAGGGAAGAGGCAGAGGGGGCUGCGGGGCGUCUCCACACGCGGGAUUAGGGAGAAGGAUGGGCCUCCAGCGCGAAGCAGGAGGUGGUCGUAGCUGUGCGUGCAUCGACACGCACCUGCUCCUACUGGCAGGAGGAAGACAACGCGGUGAGGGUAGGUGGGCUGGACCAGGUAGGUGGGCCGCCAGGUGGGUGCGGGUAAGAGGCCCGGUGGCCUUUCAUUUUUCUUUUGUUUCUGUUUUUCUAUUCUAUUUUUCUGUUUUGUUUUGUUUUGCCACUGUUUAAACUCAAAACAAAUUCAAAUCAGUGCCAAAACUUUCUGUAAAUACCUAUGUGGCUUAUAUGGACUUUUCCAAGUGCACACAAAUAUUUCUGAUACAUUUGAAAAUAUAUUCUAUAUAUUAGGAAUAUAAAUUCAAAUUCAAAUACAAUGUGAUUUAAUUUCAGUGCCCAAAAUGUUCCUUAAAAAUGUUCAAUAUUUUUGGUUUGGAUCCAAAGCCUUGCCAAAAUUAGCAAACAUUGAUGAAGGGUACUUUGGUUCAUUGAAAGCAUUUUUACUAGACCUAAUUGAAUUUCAAAGUGCUAGGGUUUGAUCAAUCCCCAUUUCAAAUUCAAAUAUAAUUUAAACAUGAUGCAACAAGAUGCAAAACACCAGGCAGUACCAGAAGCUAGGGAUGUGACAGUACGUUACUUGACCGAGAUUCGAUCGUCGGUAUCCCAAUACCUCGUUCAAUCUUGUUACCGGCAAGUCACUUUACUCAUACCGUAAUGCAUGAUCCCGUGACCAAACACUUGGUCACAUUGAGCUCAUUGUGAUGAUGCAUUACCAAGUGGAUCCACAGAUACCUCUCCGUCAUACGGAGUGACAAAUCCCAGUCUCGAUCCGUGUCAACCCAACAGAUACUUUCGGGGAUACCUGUAGUAUACCUUUAUAGUCACCCAGUUACGUUGUGACGUUUGGUACACCCAAAGCACUCCUACGGCAUCCGGGAGUUACACGAUCUCAUGGACUAAGGAAAUGAUACUUGACAUUGGAAAAGCUCUAGCAAACGAACUACACGAUCUUGUGCUAUGCUUAGGAUUGGGUCUUGUCCCUCACAUCAUUCUCCUACUAAUGUGAUCCCGUUAUCAAUGACAUCCAAUGUCCAUAGUCAGGAAACCAUGACUAUCUGUUGAUCAACGAGCUAGUUAACUAGAGGCUCACUAGGGACAUGUUAUGGUCGGCGUAUUCACACAUGUAUUAUGAUUUCCGGAUAACACAAUUAUAGCAUGAAUAAUAGAUAAUUAUCAUGAACAAGGAAAUAUAAUAAUAAUCAUUUUAUUAUUGCCUCUAGGGCAUAUUUCCAACAGUCUCCCACUUGCACUAGAGUCAAUAAUCUAGUUACAUUGUGAUGAAUCGAACACCCAUAGAGUUCUGGUGUUGAUCAUGUUUUGCUCGCGGAAGAGGUUUAGUCAACGGAUCUGCGACAUUCAGAUUCGUAUGUACUUUGCAAAUAUCUAUGUCUCCAUCUUGAACAUUUUCACGAAUGGAGUUGAAGCGACGCUUGAUGUGCCUGGUCUUCUUGUGAAACCUGGGCUCCUUGGCAAGGGCAAUAGCUCCAGUGUUGUCACAGAAGAGAGUGAUCGGCCCUGGCGCAUUGGGUAUGACUCCUAGGUCGGUGAUGAACUCCUUCAUCCAGAUUGCUUCAUGCGCUGCCUCCGAGGCUGCCAUGUACUCCGCUUCACAUGUAGAUCCCUCCACGACGCUUUGCUUGCAACUGCACCAGCUUACUGCCCCACCAUUCAAAAUAUACACGUAUCCGGUUUGUGACUUAGAGUCAUCCAAAUCUGUGUCGAAGCUAGCGUUGACGUAACCCUUUACGACGAGCUCCUCGUCACCUCCAUAUACGAGAAACAUAUCCUUAGUACUUUUCAGGUACUUCAGGAUGUUCUUGACCGUUGUCCAGUGUUCCAUGCCGGGAUUACUUUGGUACCUUCCUACCAAACUUAUGGCAAGGUUUACAUCAGGUCUGGUACACAGCAAGGCAUACAUGAUAGACCCUAUGGCUGAGGCAUAGGGGACGACACUCAUCUUUUCUCUAUCUUUGUCGGAGUAAUGGGCCACGGGUAGGCCAACCUGAGCCCCACGACCUUUCAAGACAUCGGGGCAGGCUGCGCCCCUCAGGACCACAGGGCGAAGAGCCGCCUCCUGGGGAGUCUACGGCAAGGCGACCAACUGCCCGCUCACGGCCGAGUCCCAGGGACGACUUCCAGAGAAGCCAGCUUUGGGGAGUCGGCCGGCGACUCCAACAAACCGAGACCUCAUCGAGGGGGACAGGGCAGGGGCGUGGCUAUAAUGAAGCCCACUCCCCGCCCCUUACCAAGUACAGGCAUGGCUACAGCGCGCCGUACUUGGGAAGAUCUCACCACGGCAUGGCACUGUUGCCCAGCCGGCCCUGACAUCAGCACCACUGUACCUGGUCCUGCGCCCAUGACGGCUUGUUUGUACGGCCUGGAGGCAGCAGGGCCCACCAGCCAGCGAGACCUCAGGAGACGGCGGGAGCACCGACAGUCAGACCCAACAGGAGUCGGCCCGGGGGAGUCGGCCGAGCCCUCCCCCGGGCCCACGCGCCAUUAAUCAAGAAGAGAUGGGGAGUGGCCAUAGUGAUCGCCCGCCAGGCGGCGGGGCUGUUGCCACGACCCCAUGACCAAGCUUGCAUCAUCAGGAGCAUGGCUACAGUGAUCAGCAGCCGGCAAGACCCGCCCGCGGCGGACACGGCCUGUCGGCUCUGUACCAGACCAGUCGGCGGGGCCCAUCAGUCGGCGGGCCCUAGCAAUCGGCGGAGAAGUCGGAGGUUGGAGACACUGACUGCUGGGCCCGCGCCCAGUCACAUUACCAUUGUACCCCUGGGGGUAGGCCUAUAUAAACCCCCUAGGGCACCCAUGCAAAGGGUUGGAUCCCAGUAGUUCUAUACCUCACCAGAUAGAGGGAGAGAGCUAGCCUUGCCCUCUCCUACCACCAUACACAGCUCAAGGAGCAACCGUGUAAACACUUGACAUAGUGAUCAUGCGAAGACCCCGCAGAGCAGCAGUAGGGGUAUUAUCUCCCCGGAGAGCGCCGAAGCUGGGUAAGAUUCGCCGGCGUGCAUGUCUUCGCCUCAUCCCGUUUCCAGUCACCAGCGACGUUCUACUCGCCCACACCAUGAUAAGCCAUCCGUUGGCAUAUGUCGCACCAAACCCCCGACAUUUGGCGCCCACCGUGGGGCAUGGUGCACCGCCGUCCGGAGAUCUGUUCUGGACGGGAACCCUUUUCCUCCCUGGCGAGCGCAGCCAGCCAGGCACGCCAGACGAAGUUUGCAUCGACGUGCUGCGUGGCAUGGAGAUCGCCUGCGCAGGCAGCUCCUUGGCCGAACUUGUCGGUGAGGUCCGCCUCUCCGACGAACCUGUGUCCGACGCAGGCGUAGGCGGCCCCGAAAACCUCCUCGCGGGCCUCCUCAAUCAACUCCACGUUUCCGGCGAGCCUGCCGUAGACUUGGAGUCCGUAGGCUCCACCGACCCGAUGCUGGUCGACUCCGACACCGCGUCGGUCGAUGCUUUCCCCUCCAACAUGGUGGUCUACGACGAACCUCUCCCCCACGCGGAGAGCGACGGGAGCACCAUCACUGAGGUGCUGGUCAUCAGUCAUGACGAGUUCGCUGGUGGAAGGGCGCCCGACUCACUCUGCGCGGCGCUGCAAGACCUAGUUGCGCCCAUUCCAGAAGAUGCUGACGCAGAGACGUUAGAAGCGCGCCGCCUUCAGCUUGUUGAAGGCGCGAAGAAGCUAGCCAGCAUGAGAUGCUUGUCAGAAGCUUACCAGCGGGAGAUGGAUCGGGCUGUUGGUGGCUCGCCGGCUCUAGCAGGGCCCGGCCGCCUUGGCGCGGUUCAGUAGCGCGACGUAGCCAUCGCCAGCCUGUUUGGGGCUAGCCGCCCCGUGUACGCCACGCCAGUGGAGAACAUCCGAGCCGCCCAGGCAGCGGCGGAUGAGCUGGACAAUUUCGAGGGCGAAGAGCGCCGCCUCAUGAUGGAGCGAGUCCAGCGGCUCCUCGACGCGGCCGCCGCGCAGAACAAGGCCGUGUGCCGCACGGAGGCGCCGCAGCGGCCAAACGACGACCCGCACUGAGAUCAAGGCGCGACGUCUCGGACGCCGACUAGCGGCACCCGAGGAAGGAAGGACAAGGAGCCGGCUGUCAGCCACAGUCAGACUCAGAUUACCAUAGAGCGCGACCGAGACGGCCGCCCGAGAGCAGUGGAACAACGGGACGACUGUCUGCCUCCCCCUCCCCGCAAGGAGAGGCGGGUCUCCCCGCCGCCUGUUGACCAUCCGACUCUCGGUGACCGCCUUGGCCACCGAGAGGGAGUUGGGGAGAAUGACGCCCGCCACCGGAUCGACCGACUUCACCGGUCCCUGGCGCUGGAAGAAGAAGACGAGCUGGGUCCGCCUUGUUUCGGGUCCCGCAUUCGGGAUGAGCCCUUUCCCAGAGGGUUCACGCUCCCAAGAGACACGCCCAAGUAUACCGGCUCCGUGAAGCCGGAAGACUGGCUAGUCGACUACUCCACGCCUGUCAGCAUAGCAAAUGGCAACAAGCGUGUCGUCAUAAAGUACGUUCCACUCAUGCUCCAGGGCACGGCCUGGACAUGGCUGAACAGCCUAAAGCCCCGCAGCAUCAACAGCUAGGUCGACUUCACCAAAGCAUUCGUUCGCAACUUCACCAGCACGUACAAGCGUCCUCCCAAGCCUCGCCAGCUCUCCCUAUGUGUGCAAGGUCCUGAUGAGUCGACUCGCGACUACCUCAUGCGUUGGGCUGAACUCCGGAACUCCUGCGAGGGCGUGCACGAGGUGCAGGCCAUCGAGUACUUCACAGCCGGGUGCCGAGAAGGCACCCUCCUCAAGCACAAGCUCCUAUGCGACGAGCCAGAAACCCUUGAUGAGCUACUGAUCAUAGCGGACAAGUACGCUACGGCCGACUCCUCCAUGAAGACAGAAAUUCAAAUCAACACGACUGGCAAAGUAGCUCCUCAGGCUCCAAGAACUCCGGCAGCAGACGCCAGCCGGCGACAAUAGCAGGGUGACCACAAGCGCAAGGCCCCGCAGCCGGCUUCCAGCAGCCGGCAGGUCGCGACAGUCGAAGCCCAGCAGCCAGAAGAGCAACCUCCGCCCAAGCGACAAAAAGGCGGCAAGCCGAACUGGUUGCUGGCCUUCUCCUAUGAGCAGACCUUGGAUGGACCUUGCAAGUUCCACAGCGGCGCGAAGCCACCGAAUCACACCACCCGGAAGUGCCACUGGCUCACCAGGAUCGCCAAGGGAGACGGCCUCCUGCCACCCCCGCCUGCUGGGCAGCCGCCUCCGCCUCCGCCCCAGCAGCCGGCAGUCAGGCCAGUCGGCGCAGUACAAGACGAGUACCCUGAAGAGCACGGAGCCUACAUGGUGUUCACCAGUGUGGCUGACAUCGACGCAGCAGGCGGCUGCAGCAACAAGAGGUGAACACGGUAGCCUCAGAGACGCCAGAGUUCAUGCACUGGUCAGAGAGGCCAAUCAGCUGGAGCAGGGCUGACCACCCAGAAGUGAUGCCGAGUCCGGGCUCCUACGCAUUGGUCCUGGACGCCACCUUUGCCACGGACAAACGGGCCGCGUGUUUCUCGCGAGUUUUGAUAGAUGGGGGCAGCAGCAUCAACAUCCUGUACAAGGACACCAUGGAGAAGUUAGGAAUCAAGCAGAGACAGCUUCAGAACAGCCGGACUGUGUUCCACGGCAUUGUUCCUGGGCUUUCCUGUUCACCAAUCGGCAAGAUCCUAAUUGACAUCCUCUUUGGGGACAAAGAUCACUUCCAAAGAGUCUGUUUGGUUUGAGGUGGUGGACCUUGAGAGCCCAUACCAUGCGCUACUUGGCCGGCCCGCCUUGGCCAAGUUCAUAGCGGUCCCCCACUACGCCUACCUCAAGAUGAAGAUGCCCAGUUCUAGGGGAAUUCUGACUGUGGCCGGCGACUACUGGAAGUCGUCCGCUUGCGCGGACGAGAGCAGUCGGCUGGCCGAGUCCCUGGUGAUCGCGGCCGAGAAGCGACUCCUUGAGCGAGCUGUGGCGAUGGUCGGCAAACAGCCAAAGAUAUCGCCCGACCCGUAGGAGUCAGAAGCCGAAGGUUCGUUCAAGCCGGCUAAAGAGACAAAGAAGAUACCCUUGGAUCCGGAACACCCAGAGAGGUACGCCGUCGUAGGUGCAAACCUCGACAGCAAAUAGGAAGGCGAGCUCGUCGAUUUCCUCCAUGAGAAUCAGGACAUCUUCGCAUGGUCUCCCAAACACAUGCCAGGUGUGCCAACGGAAUUCGCCGAGCACAAGUUACACGUUCGAUCUGAUGCAAAGCCGGUCAGGCAGCCCCUAUGCCGCUUAUCAGAAGAGAAGAGAAGAGUUGUCGGAGAAGAGAUAGCCCAACUCCUAGCAGCCGGCUUCAUUAUGGAAGUUUUCUUCCCGGAGUGGCUGGCAAAUCCAGUCCUGGUGCUAAAGAAGAACAAGCAAUGGCGAAUGUGUAUUGACUACACGAGCCUCAACAAGGCAUGCCCCAAGGACCCGUUUGCUCUGCCGAGAAUUGAUCAGGUGAUAGACUCCACAGCCGGAUGCGAGUUGUUGAGUUUCUUGGAUGCGUACUCAGGAUAUCAUCAGAUCAAGCUGAACCCGGCUGAUAGAUUGAAGACCGCCUUCAUCACGCUGUUUGGAGCAUUCUGCUACUUCACCAUGACGUUCGGCUUGAGGAAUGCCGGCGCCACCUUUCAGCGUUGCAUGCAGAAGUGCCUCCUCAAGAAGCUCGGUAGGAACGCCCACGUUUACAUGGACGACAUGGUGGUGAAGACGGAAAAGCGAGGAACAUUGCUGGAAGACCUCAAGGAGACCUUUGAGAACCUGCGCCGGUUCCAGAUCAAGCUCAACCCCGAGAAGUGUGUCUUCGGAGUACCAGCCGGCCAGCUGCUAGGUUUCCUGGUCUCUGAACGCGGCAUAGAAUGCAACCCAGUAAAAAUCAAGGCCAUCGAGAGAAUGGAGGUACCUAGCCGACUGAUGGAUGUGCAGAAGUUCACCGGCUGCUUGGUGUCCAUGAGCCGAUUCAUCAGUCGGCAGGGCGAGAAAGCUCUCCCCUUAUACCAACUCAUGAAGAAGACCACUUUUUUCGAGUGGAACCAUAAGGCGGACGAAGCUUUCCACCAGUUGAAGAACAUGAUGACUACUCCACCCGUCCUGGCGGCUCCGACUCCCAAGGAACCUAUGCUCCUGUACAUCGCUGCCACCAGCCAAGUAGUCAGCAUAGUCAUUGUAGUAGAGCGCAAGGAGGAAGGUAAGGCGCUACCUGUCCAGAGACCAGUAUAUUACCUGAGCGAGGUACUGUCGACCUCCAAGCAGAACUACCCCCACUACCAGAAGAUGUGCUAUGGCGUCCACUUUGCUGCCAAGAAAUUGAAGCCUUACUUUCAAGAACAUCCAAUCACGGUGGUUUGCACGGCUCACUUGCCGAGAUCAUCGGCAGCCGUGAUGCCUCUGGUCGAGUGGCCAAGUGGGCCAUAGAGCUGGCUCCUUACACCAUCUACUACCAGCCCCGCACCGCUAUCAAAUCACAAGCACUGGCCGACUUCCUCGUCGACUGGGCCGAGACCCAGUGCCUGCCUCCAGCACCUGACUCCACCCAUUGGCGGAUGCACUUCGACGGCUCCAAGAUGCGCACCGGCUUGGGAGCCAGCGUCAUCCUCACCUCUCCCAAAGGCAACAAGCUCAAAUAUGCACUGCAAAUCCAUUUUGCCGCCUCCAACAAUGUGGCCGAGUACGAGGCACUCAUUUACGGGCUCCGGCUUGCCAAAGAACUUGGCAUCCACCGGAUCUUGUGUUAUGGCGACUCGGACUUAGUGGUCCAGCAGUCGUCUGGCGACUAGGAUGCCAAAGAUGCAAACAUGGCGAGCUACCGUUUCCUCGUGCAGCAACUCAGCGGGUAUUUCGAAGGGUGUGAGUUCCUCCAUGUGCCAAGAAACGACAACGACCAAGCAGACGCCUUGGCACGAAUCGGCUCUACCCGCCAAGCAAUACCAUCUGGCGUCGCCCUUCAACGCCUCCUCAAGCCGUCUGUCAAGCCUUCACCAGAAUCAAACUCCAUCUUUGUGCCGGCUCCUCCCGAAGACGGCGGACCCGACUCCAGAGUUCCGGCAGUCGGAACGGGGACUUUGGCGGGCGACUCCAAAGCUACCACAAUCGAGCCUAGCCCGGGGACUGCGGUGACGGACUUGAAGAUUCCAGAACUCGGCCCAAGGACCGAGCCAGUCGCCUGGGGACUUCAUCAGCCCAACAAGCGGUUGUUGACUCCAGCCCGCCGCCUCCCAGCCCAGCCGCCCUCGUCCAAGUCGCAGUUCUGAUAGUCGACGAAAUAGCAGCACCCUCAAUCCUCAAAUUUCUGGUGAACAAAGAGCUACCAACUGAUGAGACCUCAGCUCGGCAAGUACAACAUCGGGCAGCAGCCUAUACCAUAAUCAACAGAGAGCUGGUCAGGCGCAAUGUCACUGGUGUCUACCAGCGCUGCGUAGAGCCAGAGCAAGGCCAGGCGAUCCUCAAAGACAUCCAUCAAGGCGAAUGUGGCCACCAUGCGGCUUCAAGAGCACUCGUCGCCAAAGCUUUUCGACACGGUUUCUUUUGGCCGACUACCUUGGAAGAGGCCAAGGAGUUGGUCCAAAAAUGCAAAGGGUGUCAGAAGUUCAGCUCCAAGCCGCACCAGCCGGCUUUCGCGCUCAAGACCAUCCCCAUUGCUUGGCCUUUCGUUGUUUGGGGCCUAGACAUGGUGGGACCAUUCAAAACAGCACGAGGUGGUCUAACUCACCUACUUGUCGUAGUGGACAAGUUCACCAAGUGGGUGGAAGUAAAGCCAAUUAAGAAACUGAACGGUCCGACUGCCAUGACCUUCAUCACCGAUAUCACAAUUCAGUACGGCAUACCACACAGCAUCAUCACCGACAACGGCACAAAUUUUGCCAAAGGCGCCUUGGCCCGUUUCUGCGCAACACAGGGCAUCCGACUGGACCUAGCGUCCGUCGCCCACCCACAGUCAAACGGCCAAGUGGAGUGAGCAAAUGGCCUCAACCUGUCCGGCAUCAAGCCUCGGUUGAUCGAGCCUCUGGAGCGCUCGGCUGGCUGCUGGCUCGACGAGCUGCCAGCCGUCCUCUGGAGUCUGCACACGACUCCAAACAAGUCAACCGGCUUCACGCCCUUCUUCCUCGUCUACGGUGCCGAAGCCGUCAUCCCAACGGACAUAGAGUUCGACUCCCCACGAGUCGCCAUGUACACCAAGGAGGAAGCAGAAGAAGCACGACAAGACGGUGUCGAUCUGCUGGAAGAGGGCCGGCUGUGGGCACUUAGCUGGUCCAGCAUCUACCAGCAGAGCCUGCGCUGAUACCACAACAGGAAGGUCAGGCCAAGAUCUUUCCAAGAAGGCGACCUUGUACUCCGGCUGACCCAGCGAACAGCCGGCCAGCACAAGUUGUCGCUGCCUUGGGAAGGCCCUUUCAUCAUCAGCAAAGUACUAGGCAACGACUCCUACUACCUGAUCGACGCUCAGAAGCCCCGAGCACGCAAGAGGGACGACUCCGGCAAGGAGACAGAGCGGCCAUGGAAUGCAAAUCUUCUCCGAAGAUUUUACAGUUGAUGCAGUAUGUACCACGCUACCCUUUGUAAAGUACCAAGACUUCAGGCCCCCCCGAGACGAGCUCGGGGACUGCCCUCUUUUGUCUAUAUGAUAAAAAUUAUGCCUACAAGUAUGUUACUCUUUGUCAUGCCGCUAGGCACCGGGCUCGACAAGUCGGCCCGGGGACUUGCCGCCUUGCACUAUGAAAUGCUUCCUGCAGCCGGACAAGUAGUGUGUAACAUCUAAGCCGUCUUCUGUCAGAAGCCGCAGCUCGCAGAGCGACUGUACGGUGGGCAGAGGUAAGGUAGAAUGGGUGAUCGCACAAAAAAUGGCUAGGGACUCAAAGCGUAAAACAUAGCUCAAGACGGCUUCCAAGCCCUUCUCGCAAACUGACUCUCGGACAGUCGGAUUAUCGUUUUCUAUCCAACUUGCUCAAACAAUCUUAAAAUCGGCUAAGUACUUGCUUUCCCAAAGUAGCCUAGCACUUGAUCCAGCAACAGUCUGCAGAGCGGCUGUCCGAUUGGCAAGGCAGGCAAUUAGGAGAAAGCGGCAAAGGAAACAGCCAAAAGAACAAUGAGCAAGAAAAGAUAGACAUAUAUAUAUAACACAGGCCCAUGGCCGAAUUGUCAAGCAGAGGUUCAAAAUACACGUCGCGGGUGGAAUUGUGCGAAUUAACAAGUUCUUCAAAAGACUACUGAAGCAGAUAAAACAAAAGACACAGCGGCAGCUUAGGAGGCGGCAAACGGAGUCAGGGGGUCGGAGGAGGCGCCAGCAUCAGUCAUCGGGGCGGUCGGCCGGCUAGUCUCAGCUUGAUCACCUCCGGCAGCAGUCGGAUCGGUCGCACGCGGCUCGUUGCUGAAGGCGCGAUCGGGCUAAGGCUGGUCGUCUGCUCCGUCUUCUGGUGCCUCCGCCUCGCCCUCAUCCUCCGCCUCGUCCUCCUCCUCGACGCUGGAGCCGAUCACCUCCGCCGAGUCUUCGCCGUAGUCUGGGUUCAUCCCAAACCACUCCGGCGGGACCUCCUCGCCGUCUUCAGACCGCUCGGGGACAAAGAUGCUCGUGUCGGUGUACUCGGCGAUCGCCGCAGCACGCUUGACGAGGGCGUCUUCCGCAGCCGCCAGCUCCGGCUGGGCCUCCAACCGAAGCGUGGCCAACCGGUCUAGAUCCAGCCCCGGGUACCACGCCUUGACGAACUCCAAGGCCGGCGCGCUCCAGCCCGGGCCGAAGAGCCCUUCCAGGCCUCGAGGCGACCAGCCGCGACCUCCAACCAGUUGGCCGUCAGGCUGGGGGUGCGCGGAGCCUGCAUAUCCGGCCAAAGGGCGGAGAUCACCUGGGCGCCGACGCGCUGAAGCCGGCGCAGCAUCCGGUGAGCCGGCCGGAGGCGAGCCUCUAUACUCAAGAUGUGCUCAUCAAGAGUUCGGGGGCCAUCGGCGGCGAUCUCUGCGCCCUCCUCCCUCCGACUUUCACGAUCGGCCUCGAUGGCUUGGAUAGCGGCCUGAGACUGCCGAGGGAAGAAGUCUGCAAAAGACACGAAGAAACAAAAAAGCGAGUCAAAAACCAGGAGUCGGCACGACCUAGGUUGGCGGCUCAACGAAAGAAAACAAAGAGACUCACCAUCAACGAUGUCUUCGAUCUCAUGGAAGCCGGAGGACAGCAUCGCCUCCUUGUCAGACCAGGAAGAGCGCUCGCUCGCGAACUCGGCCAGGAGGGCGGCCUCCGUAUCCUCCGCCUCCCUCUGUGACUUCGCGAGCAGCCCCUUCUGCUCUACCAACUGAGUGGUCAGCAGAUCGCGCUCCGCGGCGAGCUUGCCGCACUCCUCCCCUUUGGCGAGCAGGGCGGAGUUGGCUUCGCUCAACUGCUGUUGAAGAGCAGCGUUGGCCCCUGAAGUAAAGAAAGAAAGACAACAGUCGUCAAUAAAGUAGGUCGUCAGGGAGAUCCGGCCCGACUGCUCAGCAGUCGGCCCGAAUCUCGGGGACUACAGCCCACGGGUGCGCUAGCGCGCCCCCGCAGAGAAGAGAAAAAGGAGAAGGACUUACUCCGGCUCUCCGCCAAGUCGGCGGUCCGCUUGCCCAACUCUUCAACAUUACGGUUGAAGGCGGUGACGCGGAGGUUGUGGUAGUCCUGCAACAAGCAUUUCAGACAAAGUUAGUACCCAGAAGUUCAUCAAAUUGGAGUUACAGACCGCCUGCUCAGCAGCCGACCCGAAACUCGGGGACUACACCCAGUGGGUGCGCUGGCGCGCCCCCACAGAGAGGAACAAGAAAAAUAAAGGCCCAAAGAAAAGACAUACUCGGACGGCCGCCCGCGACGCCAGGAACACCUUGGUGCAGCUCUGGAGGGUGUCGCCCUCAGUGCGGAGCUUCGCCUGGACGUCCAGGAGCGCCCGGUUCAGCGGCCCUGUGCCGCCACCCCGCACACACCCAACAGGUGCGGCGCUCGUCGCCUCGGCGUCUGGAGCCGCGGAGCUGGCGGUGCCGGCCUCCAGGGGGCGGGGUGCCGAAGUCGCCUUCUCCAGACGACGGCGCGCUGGCGAGCCGACCUGGAGGAGUAGCCUCGCCACGGCCUCUUCUUCGGUCGGCGGCACCGGAGGGUCCGCUGGAUGCUCGCCUCGCACGCCUUCAGACGGUGGCGGAGGCGGCGGCGGAACAUUCGCGCCCGGAGUAGAGGGCUCGCCGCCUUCCCUCUCCUCGACGAGGUUCUCCCCGCUGGCUCCUCCAGUCUGCCCCGUGAACUCCGGCGGCAGCAGCGCAGAGUUCAGCGGGGUAACAAGCAAGGCCACCUGGCGGCGUGCGGCUUCCUCAGCCUGCUGCUUCGCCGCGGCGGCGGCUUUGGCCUCCGCUAGUUUUUUCUUGGCAGAGGCCUCCGCCCUGUCGACCACCGCCUUCUCCAGGCGGAGGGCUUCUUCUUCAUUGCGCUUCUCCUGUGCAUUCCGCUCCAUCGCCUCCUGGAGGUCGGCAGCGGGGUCUAUCCGCCGAGUGGUGGCGGGCGUCCCCGCUGACCCCAUGACGGAGGCGGCGGUGACCCGCUCAAGAGAGAGGGGAGCCCUGAAGAAAGAAGGGCGAGCAAAGACUCAGACAAAACACGAAGAAAGAAUAAACUUUGAAGUCAGAAUACUCACGCAGAGACCAACGGCGGCUUCUUCACUUCCUUACGGAAGCGGAUGGCCUUCGCGGCUGCCUCGUCCUGCCGGGUCGCCGCAGCCGAGCCCUUGGGCUUCUUCAGUCGGCUGCCAAACAAAGUCGGUGCAGCCCGGCGCUUCUUCCCGCCGCCUGGAGCACCCGAUGCGGCAGAAGAGCCCGUGCCCGGCUGGCUGGCUCCUGGCCGAUGGUGAGGGGCGACUCCUCCCUCGGCAUCGUCUUCAGGCCAGUCGGCGAAGGUAGCCAAGGGCCUGAAGUCACCUGUCGUCCCUCCUCCUCCCUCAGCGUCGUCUUCCAGAGCCGCCGCCCCCAGAUCGGGGUCGUCAACGUCACUCUCCGCUCGAUCGGCGGCGAACUCACGGGCCGGCCCCGAGGUGCCGGCUGGUGGGUGAAGAAGGGGAUUCUAACCAAAAAGCAGACUGAUUAGAACAAGACUCGGCAAGAAGAAGACAGUCUAAAGAAAAGAAAGGCGACUCACCACGGGCGGAGGGUUGCCGCGGGAGUAUGACUCCUUGCCGAAUCGCCAGUCCUCCGGGAGCCUGCUGUCCGAGAGGCAGUUCACCAUCAGGGCCACCUCUUCGUGAGGCAUGUCCUUGGUGCACAUCCGACUCGGGUCGCGGCCCCCGCUCAUCUGGCAUAUUAGGUGAGGGCGGCCUUGGAGUGGGAGAACUCGGCGCAAGACGAAGGCGGCCAGCAGGUCCGGGCCGGUCAGACCCUCCGACUGCGUUAGCACUCGGAGUCGCAUGAUGGCGCCGACUCCCGUAGGCGUCAGCGACCUGGCCCGGUACGACCAGUUGGGCAGUCUGCCAGCCAGCGGGCCGGCUUCGAAAGCCGGCAGAUUAACCCAGUCGCCCCUCGUGGCGACGUUCCUGACAUAGAAGUAGGACCGCUGCCACAUCUUCACCGACUUCAGCAGCGAGAUGGAGGGGAAGUGGUUGUCGGCUCCUGUCCUUUGCACGGCGACGAAGGCGCCGCACUGAGCCGGCACGCCCGCGGCCUGGGUGCCGAGCUUGGAGAAGAAGAACUCCCCCCAAAGCUCGAGGGUGGGGAGGACUCCAAGGAAGCCCUCGCACAGAGCCAUGAAGGCGGACAGCAGCACCACUGUGUUGGGGGUGAGGUGGUGCGGCUGGAGUCCGUAAAACUCCAUGAACGACCAGAAGAAGCUGCUCGCCGGCAGCCCCAGCCCGUGCAGGCAAUGCGAGCGGAAGAUGACCCGCUCGCCCUCCCGCAGGGCGGGGAAAAUCUCCCCCUCCGGCGCGAGACGCACCUGCACGCGAUCCUCGCCAGGAAGCCGACGGGUCCGGCGGAGGAACUCGAUAUGGUCUUCAUGGACCUCGGAGCCGUCCCAGGUGCCGGAGUGCACUGGGGGAGGCGCGGCCGCGGAGGAAGAGCUCAUCGCGAAGCUGUCGCCGCGGCGUUCGCCGGAGCUUGGGCGUGCGGCAAGGCGAAGAAGAGAAGAGGAAGCAGGAGAGUGAGGAGCUGCGAGGAGGAAGAAGCGAGGGGUACUGGGAAGAGGGGCGCGCGUGCCCCCUCUUCCCCCUACUUAUAGUCCUAUGGGUUGCGAAGCCGAGGGGGCGGACGUGGGGAUUUACUGCGCCCGCAGCCCCACGACCCCCACGAUCCACGUAAAGUUACUGCGCGCAGUAACUUCAUGGGAAUCCCAACCGCCCACCAGGGCCGCAGCGGAUCCGCUCGGGCGCCGAGGCACGGUAGUGGCGGGCCCCGCCUAUGGGCCUGUCCCGUCGCGUGCGUGGGAUGGCAGAACGGUCUGGCCACGUGCCCUCGUGUGACAGGCCAGGAACGGGCGGCGGCCUGGAAGCUUAGCUAGCACGCCACUUGAAAUCCCGCCGCGACGUUCGAACUACUGAGCAAGUCAGAAUUGAGUGAGUCCGAGUUGGGCGGGUCCGACUCCUUCUAGUCAGCCCGGCGGAAGUCAAUCAAGACCAUGUGUUGCGCCCGGAAAGAGAAACUGCUGAGGCUUCUCGGCCGAUCGUCCGCGGCGCCUCACCAGCUUCAGGGACUACUGUCAGAGUAAUGGGCCACGGGUAGGCCAACCCGAGCCCCACGACCUUUCAAGACAUUGGGGCAGGCUGCGCCCCUCAAGACCACAGGGCGAACAGCCGCCUCCUGGGGAGUCUACGGCAAGGCGGCCGACUGCCCGCUCACGGCCGAGUCCCAGGAACGACUUCCAGAGAAGCUGGCUUUGGGGAGUCGGCUGGCGACUCCAACAAACCGUGACCUCAUCGAGGGGGACGGGGCAGGGGCGUGGCUACAAUGAAGCCCACUCCCUGCCCCUUACCAAGGGCAGGCAUGGCUACAGCGCGCCGUACUUGGGAAGAUCUCCCCGCGGCAUGGCACUGUUGCCCAGACGGCCCUGACAUCAGCACCACUGUACCUGGUCCUGCGCCCACGACGGCUUGUCUGUACGGUCUGGAGGCAGCAGGGCCUACCAGCUAGCGAGACCUCGGGAGACAGCGGGAGCACCGCCAGUCGUACCCAACGGGAGUCGGCCCGGGGGAGUCGGCCGAGACCUCCCCUGGGCCCACGCGCCAUUAAUCAAGAAGAGAUGGGGAGUGACCACAGUGAUUGCCCGCCAGGCGGCGGGGCUGUUGCCACGACCCCAUGACCAAGCUUGCAUCAUCAGGAGCACGGCUACAGUGAUCAGCAGCCGGCAAGACCCGCCCGCGGCGGACGCGGCCUGUCGGCUCCGUACCAGACCAGUCGGCGGGGCCCACCAGUCGGCGGGCCCCAGCAGUCGGCGGAGAAGUCGGAGGUUGGAGACACUGACGGCUGGGCCCGUGCCCAGUCACAUUACCAUUGUACCCCUGGGGGUAGGCCUAUAUAAACCCCCCAGGGCACCCAUGCAAAAGGGUUGGAUCCCAGUAGUUCUAUACCUCACCAGAUAGAGGGAGAGAGCUAGCCUUGCCCUCUCCUACCACCAUACACAGCUCAAGGAGCAACCGUGUAAACACUUGACCAUAGUGAUCAUGCGGAGACCCCGCAGAGCAGCAGUAGGGGUAUUAUCUCCCCGGAGAGCCCCGAAGCUGGGUAAGAUUCGCUGGCGUGCAUGUCUUCGCCUCAUCCCGUUUCCAGGCACCGGCGACGUUCUACUCGCCCCCACCAUGAUAAGCCAUCUGUUGGCAUAUGUCGCACCAAACCCCUGACAAUCUUCUGUCGUGGUCGGACAUUGAGCUGAGCUCAAUUUCACACCUUGCAACACAGGCAAGAACCCCUUCUUGGACUGAUCCAUAUUGAACUUCUUCAAUAUCUUAUCAAGGUAUGUUCUUUGUGAAAGACCUAUGAGGCAUCUCGAUCUAUCUCUAUAGAUCUUGAUGCCUAAUAUGUAAGCAGCUUCUCCAAGGUCCUUCAUUGAAAAACACUUAUUCAAGUAGGCCUUAAUAUUGUCCAAAAGUUCUAUAUCAUUUCCCAUCAAAAGUAUGUCAUCCACAUAUAAUAUGAGAAAUGCUACAGAGCUCCCACUCACUUUCUUGUAAACGCAGGCUUCUCCAUAAGUCUGCAUAAACCCAAAUGCUUUGAUCAUUUCAUUAAAGCGAAUGUUCCAACUCCGAGAUGCUUGCACCAGCCCAUAGAUGGAGCGCUGGAGCUUGCUUACCUUGUUAGCAUUCUUAGGAUUGACAAAACCUUCCAGCCGCAUCAUAUACAAUUCUUCCUUAAGAAAGCCGUUAAGGAAAGCCGUUUUGACGUCCAUUUGCCAUAUCUCAUAAUCAUAGUAUGCGGCAAUUGCUAACAUGAUUCGGACGGACUUCAGCUUCACUACGGGUGAGAAGGUCUCAUCGUAGUCAACCCCUUGAACUUGUCGAUAACCCUUAGCGACAAGUUGAGCCUUAUAGAUGGUAACAUUACCAUCCGCAUCCGUCUUCUUCUUAAAGAUCCAUUUAUUCUCUAUCGCUCGCCGAUCAUCGGGCAAAUCUGUCAAAGUCCAUACUUUGUUUUCAUACAUGGAUCCUAUCUCGGAUUGCAUGGCUUCAAGCCAUUUGUUGGAAUUUGGGCCCGCCAUUGCUUCUUCAUAGUUCGAAGGUUCAUCGUUUUCUAACAACAUGAUUUCCAGGACAGGGUUGCUAUACCAUUCUGGUGUGGAACGUAUCCUUGUGGACCUUCGAAGUUCAGUAGCAACUUGAUCCGAAGUACCUUGAUCAUCAUCAUUAACUUCCUCUCUAGUUGGUGCAGGCACCACAGGAACAUCUUCCUGAGUUGCGCUACUUUCCGGUUCAAGAGGUAGUACUUCAUCGAGUUCUACUUUCCUCCCACUUACUUCUCUCGAGAGAAACUCUUUCUCCAGAAAGGACCCGUUCUUGGCAACAAAGAUCUUGCCUUCGGAUCUGAGGUAGAAGGUAUACCCAAUGGUUUCCUUAGGGUAUCCUAUGAAGACACAUUUUUCCGACUUGGGUUCGAGCUUUUCAGGUUGAAGUUUCUUGACAUAAGCAUCGCAUCCCCAAACUUUUAGAAACGACAGCUUAGGUUUCUUCCCAAACCAUAAUUCAUACGGUGUCGUCUCAACGGAUUUAGACGGUGCCCUAUUUAAAGUGAAUGUAGCUGUAUCUAGAGCGUAUCCCUAAAAUGAUAGCGGUAAAUCAGUGAGUGACAUCAUAGAUCGCACCAUAUCCAAUAGAGUGCGAUUACGACUUCGGACACACCGUUACGCUGAGGUGUUCCAGGCGGCGUGAGUUGUGAAACGAUUCCACAUUUCCUUAAGUGCGUACCAAAUUCGUGACUUAAAUAUUCUCCCCCACGAUCUGAUCGUAAGAAUUUUAUCUUUUGGUCACGUUGAUUAUCUACCUCAUUCUGAAAUUCCUUGAACUUUUCAAAGGUCUCAGACUUGUGUUUCAUCAAAUAGACAUACCCAUAUCUACUUAAGUCAUCAGCGAGAGUGAGAACAUAACGAUAGCCACCACGAGCCUCAACGCUCAUUGGACCGCACACAUUAGUAUGUAUAAUUUCCAAUAAGUUGGUUGCUCGCUCCAUUGUUCCGGAGAACAGAGUCUUGGUCAUUUUACCCAUGAGGCAUGGUUCACAUGUGUCAAAUGAUUCGAAAUCAAGAGACUCCAAAAGUCCAUCUGUAUGGAGCUUGUUCAUGCGUUUGACACCGAUGUGACCAAGGCGGCAGUGCCACAGAUAUGUGGGACUAUCAUUAUCAAUCUUACAUCUUUUGGUAUUCACACUAUGAAUAUAUGUAACAUCACAUUCGAGAUUCAUUAAGAAUAAACCAUUGACCAGCGGGGCAUGACCAUAAAACAUAUCUCUCAUAUAAAUAGAAAAACCAUUAUUCUCGGAUUUAAAUGAGUAGCCAUCUCGUAUUAAACGAGAUCCAGAUACAAUGUUCAUGCUCAAAGCUGGCACUAAAUAACAACUAUUGAGGUUUAAAACUAAUCCCGUAGGUAAAUGUAGAGGUAGCAUGCCGACGGCGAUCAUAUCGACCUUGGAACCAUUCCCGACGCGCAUCGUCACCUCGUCCUUCGCCAGUCUCCAUUUAUUCCGCAGCUCCUAUUUUGAGUUACAAAUAUGAGCAACCGCACCGGUAUCAAAUACCCAUGAGCUACUACGAGUACUGGUAAGGUACACAUCAAUUACAUGUAUAUCACAUAUACCUUUAGUGUUGCCGGCCUUCUUGUCCGCUAAGUAUUUGGGGCAGUUUCGCUUCCAGUGUCCCUUUCCCUUGCAAUAAAAGCACUCAGUCUCAGGUUUGGGUCCAUUCUUUAGCUUCUUCCCGGCAACUGAUUUACCGGGCGCGGCAACUCCCUUGUCGUCCUUCUUGAAGUUCUUCUUACCCUUGCCUUUCUUGAAACUAGUGGUUUUAUUGACCAUCAACACUUGAUGUUCAUUUUUGAUUUCCACCUCCGUUGAUUUCAGCAUUGAAAAUACUUCAGGAAUAGUUUUCACCAUCCCCUGCAUAUUGUAGUUCAUCACAAAGCUCUUGUAGCUAGGUGGGAGCGACUGAAAGAUUCUAUCAAUGACCGCCUCAUACGGGAGGUUAAUGUCCAACUGGGACAAGUGGUUGUGCAACCCAGUGUUGGGGAACGUAGCAGAAUUUUAAAUUUUUCAACGCAUCACCAAGAUCAAUCUAUGGAGUCAUCUAGCAACGUGGGAGAGAGGAGUGCAUCUACAUACCCUUGUAGAUCGCGCGCGGAAGCGUUCAAGAGAACGGGGUUGAUGGAGUCGUACUCGACGUGAUUCAAAUCACCGAUGACCUAGUGCCGAACGGACGGCACCUCCGCAUUCAACACACGUACGGUUAGGAAGACGUCUCCUCCUUCUUGAUCCAGCAAGGGGGAACGAGGGGUUGAUGAAGAUCCAGCAGCACGACGGCGUGGUGGUGGAUGCAGCAGGAUCCCGGCAGGGCUUAGCCAAGCGCAAGCGGGGAGGAGAGGUGUUACGGAGGGAGAGGGAGGCGCCAAGAGCAAGGGGUGCGGCUGCCCUCCCUCCCCCCUCUUUAUAUAGGGGCCUUGGGGGGCGGCGGCCCUAGGGAGAUGGAUCUCCAAGGGGCGGCGGCCAAGGAUGGCUUCCCCCCCUCCCCAAGCCAAGUGGGGGGCGCCCCCACCCCUAGGGUUUCCCAACCCUAGGCGCAGGGCAGGCCCAAGGGGGGGUGCACCAGCCCACUAGGGGCUGGUUCCCCACCCAAUUCAGCCCAUGGGGCCCUCCGGGAUAGGUGGCCCCACCCGAUGAACCCCUCGGACCCUUCCGAUGGUCCCGGUACAAUACCGGUAACCCCCGAAACCUUCCCGAUGGCCAAAACUUGACUUCCCAUAUAUAAAUGUUUACCUCCGGACCAUUCCGGAACUCCUCGUGACGUCCGUGAUCUCAUCCGGGACUUUGAACAACUUUCGGGUUACUGCAUACUAAUAUCUCUACAACCCUAGCGUCACCGAACCUUAAGUGUGUAGACCCUACGGGUUCGGGAGACAUGCAGACAUGACCGAGACGCCUCUCCGGUCAAUAACCAACAGCGGGAUCUGGAUACCCAUGUUGCCUCCCACAUGCUCCACGAUGAUCUCAUCGGAUGAACCACGAUGUCGAGGAUUCAAUCAAUCCGUAUACAACUCCCUUUGUCAAUCGGUACAUUACUUGCCCGAGACUCGAUCGUCAGUAUCCCAAUACCUCGUUCAAUCUCGUUACCGGCAAGUCAACUUACUCGUGCCGUAAUGCAUGAUCCCGUGAUCAACCACUUGGUCACAUUGAGCUCAUUAUGAUGAUGCAUUACCGAGUGGGCCCAGAGAUACCUCUCCAUCAUACGGAGUGACAAAUCCCAGUCUCGAUUCGUGCCAACCCAACAGAUACUUUCGGAGAUACCUGUAAUGUACCUUUAUAGUCACCCAAUUACGUUGUGACAUUUGGCACACCCAAGGCACUCCUAUGUUAUCCGGGAGUUGCACAAUCUCAUGGUCUAAGGAAAUGAUACCUGACAUUCGGAAAAGCUACAGCAAACGAACUACACGAUCUUUGAGCUAUGCUUAGGAUUGGGUCUUGUCCAUCACAUCAUUCUCCUAAUGAUGUGAUCCCGUUAUCAAUGACAUCCAAUGUCCAUAGUCAGGAAACCAUGACUAUCUUUUGAUCAACGAGCUAGUCAACUAGAGGCUCACUAGGGACGUGUUGUGGUCUAUGUAUUCACACAUGUAUUACGAUUUCCGGAUAACACAAUUAUAGCAUGAACAAUAGACAAUUAUCAUGAACAAAGAAAUAUAAUAAUAACCAUUUUAUUAUUACCUCUAGGGCAUAUUUCCAACAGUCUCCCACUUGCACUAGAGUCAAUAUUGUAGUUACAUUGUGAUGAAUCGAACACCCAUGCAGUUCUGGUGUUGAUCAUGUUUUGCUCUAGGGAGAGGUUUAGUCAACGGAUCUGCCACAUUCGGGUCCGUAUGUACUUUACAAAUCUCUAUGUCUCCAUUUUGAACACUUUCACGAAUGGAGUUGAAGCGACGCUUGAUAUGCCUGGUCUUCUUGUGAAACCUGGGCUCCUUGGCAAGGGCAAUAGCUCCAGUGUUGUCAUAGAAGAGAGUCAUCGGGCCUGACGCAUUGGGUAUGACUCCUAGGUCGGUAAUGAACUCCUUCACCCAGACUGCUUCUUGUGCUACCUCCGAGGCUGCCAUGCACUCCGCUUCACAUGUAGAUCCCGCCACAACGCUUUGCUUACAACUGCACCAGCUUACUGCCCCACCAUUCAAAAUAUACACGUAUCCGGUUUGUGACUUAGAGUCAUCCAGAUGUGUGUCGAAGCUAGCAUCGACGUAACCCUUUACGACGAGCUCUUCGUCACCUCCAUACACUAGAAACAUGUCCUUAGUCCUUUUCAGGUACUUCAGGAUAUUCUUGACUGCUGUCCAGUGUUCCAUGCCGGGAUUACUUUGGUACCUUCCUACCAAACUUACGGCAAGGUUUACAUCAGGUCUGGUACACAGCAUAGCAUACAUGAUAGACCCUAUGGCCGAGGCAUAGGGGACGACACUCAUCUUUUCUCUAUCUUCUGCCAUGGUCGGGCAUUGAUCCGUGCUCAAUCUCGUACCUUGCAAUACAGGCAAGAACCCCUUCUUUGACUGAUCCAUUUUGAACCUCUUCAAUAUCUUGUCAAGGUACGUACUCUGUGAAAUACCAAUGAGGCGUCUCGAUCUAUCUCUAUAGAUCUUGAUGCCUAAUAUAUAAGCAGCUUCUCCAAGGUCCUUCAUUGAAAAACACUUGUUCAAGUAGGCCUUUAUGCUUUCCAAGAAUUCUAUAUCAUUUCCCAUCAACAGUAUGUCAUCCACAUACAAUAUGAGAAAUGCUAUAGAGCUCCCACUCACUUUAUUGUAAAUGCAGGCUUCUCCAUAAGUCUGCGUAAACCCAAACGCUUUGAUCAUCUCAUCAAAACGAAUGUUCCAACUCCGAGAUGCUUGCACCAGCCCAUAAAUCGAGCGUUGGAGCUUGCACACCUUGUCAGCAUUCUUAGGAUCGACAAAACCUUUCGGCUGCAUCAUAUACAAUUCUUCCUUAAGGAAACCAUUAAGGAAUGGCGUUUUGACGUCCAUUUUCCAUAUCUCAUAAUCAUAGAAUGCGGCAAUUGCUAACAUGAUUCGGACGGACUUCAGCUUCGCUACGGGUGAGAAAGUCUCAUCGUAGUCAACCCCUUGAACUUGUCGAUAACCCUUAGCGACAAGCCGAGCUUUAUAGAUGGUCACAUUACCAUCCGCGGUUGUCUUCUUCUUAAAGAUCCAUUUAUUUUCUAUGGCUCGCCGAUCAUCGGGCAAGUCAGUCAAAGUCCAUACUUCGUUUUCAUACAUGGAUCCUAUCUCGGAUUUCAUGGCUUCCAGCCAUCUGUCGGAAUCUGGGCCCGCCAUCGCUUCUUCAUAGUUCGAAGGUUCACCGUUGUCUAACAACAUGAUUUCCAAGACAGGGUUGCCGUACCACUCUGGUGCGGAACGUGUCCUCGUGGACCUACGAAGUUCAGUAGCAACUUGAUCUGAAGUUUCAUGAUCAUCAUCAUUAACUUCCUCUCUAGUCGGUGCAGGCACCUCAGGAACAUUUUCUUGAGUUGCGCCACUUACCGGUUCAAGAGGUAACACUUCAUCAAGUUCUACUUUCCUCCCACUUACUUAUUUCGAGAGAAACUCUUUCUCUAGAAAGUACCCAUUCUUGGCAACAAAGAUAUUUCCUUCGGAUCUGAGGUAGAAGGUAUACCCAACAGUUUCUUUAGGGUAUCCUAUGAAGACGCAUUUUUCCGACUUGGGUUCGAGCUUUUCAGGUUGAAGUUUCUUGACAUAAGCAUCGCAUCCCCAAACUUUUAGAAACGACGGCUUAGGUUUCUUCCCAAACCAUAAUUCAUAUGGUGUCGUCUCAACGUAUUUCGACGGAGCCCUAUUUAAAGUGAAUGUGGCAGUCUCUAAAGCAUAGCCCCAAAAUGACAGCGGUAAAUCAGUAAGAGACAUCAUAGAUCGGACCAUAUCCAAUAGAGUGUGAUUACGACGUUCGGACACACCAUUACGCUGAGGUGUUCUAGGCGGCGUGAGUUGUGAAACUAUUCCACAUUUUCUUAAGUGUGUGCCAAAUUCGUGACUCAAGUAUUCUCCCCCACGAUCUGAUCGCAAGAACUUGAUUUUCUUGUCACGUUGAUUCUCAACCUCACUCUGAAAUUCCUUGAACUUUUCAAAGGUCUCAGACUUGUGUUUAAUUAAGUAGACAUACCCAUAUCUACUCAAGUCAUCAGUGAGGGUGAGAACAUAACGAUAGCCACCGCGAGCCUCAACACUCAUUGGACCGCACACAUCAGUAUGUAUGAUUUCCAAUAAGUUGGUUGCUCGCUCCAUUGUUCCUGAGAACGGAGUCUUGCUCAUUUUCGCAUGUGUCAAAUGAUUCGUAAUCAAGAGACUCUAAAAGUCCAUCUGCAUGGAGCUUCUUCAUGCGUUUGACACCUAUGUGACCAAGGUGGCAGUGCCACAAGUAUGUGGGACUAUCAUUAUCAACCUUACAUCUUUUGGUAUUCACACUAUGAAUAUGUGUAGCAUUAUGCUCGAGAUUCAUUAAGAAUAAACCAUUCACCAUCGGAGCAUGACCAUAAAACAUAUCUCUCAUAUAAAUAGAACAACCAUUAUUCUCGGAUUUAAGUGAGUAGCCAUCUCGAAUUAAACGAGAUCGUAAUACAAUGUUCAUGCUCAAAGCUGGCACUAAAUAACAAUUAUUGAGGUUUAAAACUAAUCCCGUAGGUAAAUGUAGAGGCAGCAUGCCGACGGCGAUCACAUCGACCUUGGAACCAUUCCCGACGCACAUCGUCACCUCGUCCUUCACCAGUCUCCGCUUAUUCCGCAGCUCCUGCUUUCAGUUACAAAUGUGAGCAACCGCACCGGUAUCAAAUACCCAGGAGCUACUACGAGUACUGGUAAGGUACACAUCAAUUACAUGUAUAUCACAUAUACCUUUAGUGUUGCCAACCUUCUUGUCCGCUAAGUAUUUGGGGCAGUUCCGCUUCCAGUGACCACUUCCCUUGCAAUAAAAACACUCAGUCUCGGGCUUGGGUCCAUUCUUUGGUUUCUUCCCGGAAGCUUGCUUACCGGGCGCGGCAACUCCCUUGCCGUCCUUCUUGAAGUUCUUCUUACCCUUGCCUUUCUUGAACUUAGUGGUUUUAUUCACCAUCAACACUUGAUGUUCCUUUUUUAUUUCCACCUCUGCUGAUUUCAGCAUUGAAUACACCUCAGGAAUGGUCUUUUCCAUCCCCUGCAUAUUGAAGUUCAUCACAAAGCUCUUGUAGCUCGGUGGAAGCGACUGAAGGAUUCUGUCAAUGACCACGUCAUCCGGGAGAUUAACUCCUAGCUGAGUCAAGCGGUUAUGCAACCCAGACAUUCUGAGUAUGUGCUCACUGACAAAACUAUUUUCCUCCAUCUUACAGCUGAAGAACUUGUCGGAGACUUCAUAUCUCUCGACCCGGGCAUGAGCUUGAAAAACCAUUUUCAGCUCUUCGAACAUCUCAUAUGCUCCGUGUCUCUCAAAACGCUUUUGGAGCCCCGGUUCUAAGCUGUAAAGCAUGCCGCACUGAACGAGGGAGUAAUCAUCAGCACAUGACUGCCAAGCGUUCAUAACGUCUUGAUUUUGUGGGACAGGUGCAUCACCUAGCGGUGCUUCUAGGACAUAAUCUUUCUUGGCAGCUAUGAGGAUGAUCCUCAGGUUCCGGACCCAGUCCGUAUAGUUGCUGCCAUCGUCUUUUAGCUUGGUUUUCUCUAGGAACGCAUUGAAGUUGAGGACAACGUGGGCCAUUUGAUCUACAAGACAUAUUGUAAAGAUUUUAGACUAAGUUCAUGAUAAUUAAGUUCAUCUAAUCAAAUUACUCAAUGAACUCCCACUCAGAUAGACAUCCCUCCAGUCAUCUAAGUGAAACAUGAUCCGAGUUAACUAGGUCGUGUCCGAUCAUCACGUGAGACGGACUGGCCAACAUCGGUGAACAUCUUCAUGUUGAUCGUAUCUUCUAUACGACUCAUGCUCGACCUUUCGGUCUUCCGUGUUCCGAGGCCAUGUCUGUACAUGCUAGGCUCGUCAAGUCAACCUAAGUGUAUUGCGUGUGUAAAUCUGGCUUACACCCGUUGUAUUUGAACGUUAGAAUCUAUCACACCCGAUCAUCAUGUGGUGCUUCGAAACAACGAACCUUCGCAACGGUGCACAGUUAGGGGGAACACUUUCUUGAAAUUAUUACGAGGGAUCAUCUUAUUAAAGCUAUCGUCGUUCUAAGCAAAUAAGAUGUAAAACAUGAUAAACAUCACAUGCAAUCAAAUAGUGACAUGAUAUGGCCAUUAUCAUUUGCUCCUUUUGAUAUCCAUCUUCGGGGUGCCAUGAUCAUCAUCGUCACCGGCAUGACACCAUGAUCUCCAUCAUCGUGUCUUCAUGAAGUUGUCUCGUCAUCUAUUACUUCUACUACUAUGGCUAAUGCUUUAGCAAUAAAGUAAAGUAAUUUCAUGAUGUUUAUGUUGACACGCAGGUCAUAAAUAAAUAAAGACAACUCCUAUGGCUCCUGCCGGUUGUCAUACUCAUCGACAUGCAAGUCGUGAUUCCUAUUACAAGAACAUGAUUAUCUCAUACAUCACAUAUAUCAUUCAUCACAUCCUUUGGCCAUAUCACAUCACAAAACACUUGCUGCAAAAACAAGUUAGACGUCCUCUAAUUGUUGUUGCAAGUUUUUACGUGGCUGUUAUAGGUUUCUAGCAAGAACGUUUCUUACCUACGCCAAAACCACAACGUGAAUUGCCAAUUUCUAUUUACCCUUCAUAAGGACCAUGUUCAUCGAAUCCGAUCCGACUAAAGUGGGAGAGACAGACACCUGCCAGCCACCUUAUGCAACUAGUGUAUGUCAGUCGAUGGAACCAGUCUCACGUAAGCGUACGUGUAAGGUCGGUCCGGGCCGCUUCAUCCCACGAUGCCGCCGAAUCAAGAUAAGACUAGUAACAGCAAGCAAAUUGACAAUAUCGACGCCCACAACUGCUUUGUGUUCUACUCGUGCAUAGUAACUACGCAUAGACCUAGCUCUGAUACCACUGUUGGAGAACGUAGCAGAAUUUUAAAAUUUUCUACGCAUCACCAAGAUCAAUCUAUGGAGUCAUCUAGCAACAAGGGAGAGAGGAGUGCAUCUACAUACCCUUGUAGAUCGCGCGCGGAAGCGUUCAAGAGAACAGGGUUGAUGGAGUCGUACUCGACGUGAUUCAAAUCACCGAUGACCUAGUGUCGAACAGACGGCACCUCCGUGUUCAACACACGUACGGUUAGGAAGACGUCUCCUCCUCCUUCUUGAUCCAGCAAGGAGGAAUGAGAGGUUGAUGAAGAUCCAGCAGCACGACGGCGUGGUGGUGGAUGCAGCAGGAUCCCGGCAAGGCUUCGCCAAGAGCAAGCGGGGAGGAGAGGUGUUACGAAGGGAUAGGGAGGCGCCAACAGCAAGGGGUGCGGCUGCCCUCCCUCCCCCCUCUUUAUAUAGGGGCCUUGGGGGGCGCCGGCCCUAGGGAGAUGAUCUCCAAGGGGGCGGCGGCCAAGGGUGGCUUCCCCCCCAAGCCAAGUGGGAGGCGCCCCCACCCCUAGGGUUUCCCAACCCUAGGCGCAGGACAGGCCCAAGGGGGGCGCACCAACCCACUAGGGGCUGGUUCCCCACCAAAUUAAGCCCAUGGGGCCCUCCGAGAUAGGUGGCCCCACCCGGUGGACCCCCGGGACCCUUCCGGUGGUCCCGGUACAAUACCGGUAACCCCCGAAACCUUCCCGAUGGCCAAAACUUGACUUCCCAUAUAUAAAUCUUUACCUCCGGACCAUUUCGGAACUCCUCGUGACAUCCGUGAUCUCAUCCGGGACUCCGAACAACUUUCGGGUUACUGCAUACUAAUAUCUCUACAACCCUAGCGUCACCGAACCUUAAGUGUGUAGACCCUACGGGUUCGGGAGACAUGCAGACAUGACCGAGACGCCUCUUCAGUCAAUAACCAACAGCGGGAUCUAGACACCCAUGUUGGCUCCCACAUUCUCCACGAUGAUCUCAUCGGAUGAACCACGAUGUCGAGGAUUCAAUCAAUCCUUAUACAAUUCCCUUUGUCAAACGGUACGUUACUUGCCCGAGACUCGAUCGUCGGUAUCCCAAUACCUCGUUCAAUCUCGUUACCGGCAAGUCACUUUACUCAUGCCAUAAUGCAUGAUCCCGUGAUCAACCACUUGGUCACAUUGAGCUCAUUAUGAUGAUGCAUUACCGAGUGGGCCCAGAGAUACCUCUCCGUCAUACGGAGUGACAAAUCCUAGUCUCGAUUCGUGCCAACCCAACAGACACUUUCGGAGAUACCUGUAACUUGCCUUUAUAGUCACCCAGUUAUGUUGUGACAUUUGGCACACCCAAGGCACUCCUACGGUAUCUGGGAGUUGCACAAUCUCAUGGUCUAAGGAAAUGAUACCUGACAUUCAGAAAAGCUACAGCAAAUGAACUACACGAUCUUUGAGCUAAGCUUAGGAUUGGGUCUUGUCCAUCACAUCAUUCUCCUAAUUAUGUGAUCCCGUUAUCAAUGACAUCCAAUGUCCAUAGUCAGGAAACCAUGACUAUCUUUUGAUCAACGAGCUAGUCAACUAGAGGCUCACUAGGGACGUGUUGUGGUCUAUGUAUUCACACAUGUAUUACGAUUUCCGGAUAACACAAUUAUAGCAUGAACAAUAGACAAUUAUCAUGAACAAAGAAAUAUAAUAAUAACCAUUUUAUUGUUGCCUCUAGGGCAUAUUUCCAACACCCAGACAUUUUGAGUAUGUGCUCACUGACAGAACUAUUUUCCUCCAUCUUACAACUGUAGAAUUUGUCGGAGACUUCGUAUCUCUCGACCCGGGCAUGAGCUUGGAAAACCAUUUUCAGCUCUUCGAACAUCUCAUAUGCUCCAUGUUGCUCAAAACACUUUUGGAGCCCCGGUUCUAAGCUGUAAAGCAUGCCGCACUGAACGAGGGAGUAAUCGUCGGCACAUGACUGCCAAGCGUUCAUAACGUCUUGGUUCUCUGGGAUGGGUGCUUGACCUAGCGGUGCUUCUAUGACAUAUGCUUUCUUGGCAGCUAUGAGGAUGAUCCUCAGGUUCCGGACCCAGUCCGUAUAGUUGCUGCCAUCAUCUUUUAGCUUGGUUUUCUCUAGGAACGCGUUGAAGUUGAGGUUGACAUGAGCGUUGGCCAUUUGAUCUACAAGACAUUUUGCAAAGGUUUUUAGACUAAGUUCAUGAUAAUUAAGUUCAUCUAAUCAAAUUAUUUAAUGAACUCCCACUCAGAUUAGACAUCCCUCUAGUCAUCUAAGUGAUACAUGAUCCGACUCAACUAGACCGUGUCCGAUCAUCACGUGAGACGGACUAGUCAUCAUCGGUGAACAUCUCCAUGUUGAUCGUAUCUUCCAUACGACUCAUGUUCGACCUUUCGGUCUCUUGUGUUCCGAGGUCAUGUUUGUACAUGCUAGGCUCGUCAAGUCAACCUAAGUGUUUUGCAUGUGUAAAUCUGGCUUACACCCGUUGUAUGUGAACGUUAGAAUCUAUCACACCCGAUCAUCGCGUGGUGCUUCAAGACAACGAACUUUCGCAACGGCGCACAGUUAGGGGGAACACUUUCUUGAAAUUAUUGUGAGGGAUCAUCUUAUUUACUACCGUCGUUCUAAGCAAAUAAGAUGUAAAACAUGAUAAACAUCACAUGCAAUCAAAUAGUGACAUGAUAUGGCCAUUAUCAUUUGCUCCUUUUGAUAUCCAUCUUCGGGGUGCCAUGAUCAUCAUCGUCACCGGCAUGACACCAUGAUCUCCAUCAUCAUGAUCUCCAUCAUCGUGUCUUCAUGAAGUUGUCUCGUCAUCUAUUACUUCUACUACUAUGGCUAAUGGUUUAGCAAUAAAGUAAAGUAAUUACAUGACGUUUAUGUUGACACGUGGGUCAUAAAUAAAUUAAGACAACUCCUAUGGCUCCUGCCGGUUGUCAUACUCAUCGACAUGCAAGUCGUGAUUCCUAUUACAAGAACAUGAUCAAUCUCAUAUAUCAUUCAUCACAUCCUUUUGGCCAUAUCACAUCACACGGCAUAUGCUGCAAAAACAAGUUAGACAUCCUCUAAUUGUUGUUGCAAGUUUUUUACGUGGCUGCUAUAGGUUUCUAGCAAGAACGUUUCUUACCUACGCCAAAACCACAACAUGAUAUGCCAAUUUCUAUUUACCCUUCAUAAGGACCCUUUUCACCGAAUCCGAUCCGACUAAAGUGGGAGAGGCAGACACCCGCUAGCCACCUUAUGCAACUAGUGCAUGUCAAUCGGUGGAACCAGUGUCACGUAAGCGUACGUGUAAGGUCGGUCCGGGCCGCUUCAUCCCACGAUGCCGCCGAAUCAAGAUAAGACUAGUAACGGCAAGUAAAUUGACAAAAUCAACGCCCACAACAACUUGUGUUCUACUCGUGCAUAGAAACUACGCAUAGACCUAGCUCAUGAUGCCACUAUUGGGGAACGUAGCAGAAUUUUAAAAUUUUCUAUGCAUCACCAAGAUCAAUCUAUGGAGUCAUCUAGCAAUGAGGGAGAGGGGAGUUCAUCUACAUACCCUUGUAGAUCAUGAGCGGAAGCGUUCAAGAGAACGGGGUUGAUGGAGUCGUACUCGUCGUGCUCCAAAUCACCGAUGACCUAGCGCCGAACGGACGGCACCUCCGCGUUCAACACACGUACGGUUGGGGAAGACGUCUCCUCCUUCUUGAUCCAGCAAGGGGAAGGAGAGGUUGAUGGAGAUCCAGCAGCAUGACAGCGUGGUGGUGGAAGCAGCGGUGAUCUCGGCAAGGCUUCGCCAAGCUCCAACGAGAGAGAGAGAGAGAGAAAGAGGUGUUACGAGGGGAGAGGGAGGCGCCAGGGACUUGGGUGCGGCUGCCCUCCCUCCCCCCACUAUAUAUAGGACCCCUAGGGGGCGCCGGCCCUAGGAGAUCCAAUCUCCAAGGGGGCGGCGGCCAAAGGGGGGACUUGCCCCCCAAGUCAGGUGGGGCGCCCUCCACCCCUAGGGUUUCCAACCCUUGGCGCAGGGGGAGGCCCAUGGGGGGCACACCAGCCCACCAGGGGCUGGUUCCCCUCCCACUUCAGCCCAUGGGGCCCUCCAGGAUAAGUGGCCCCACCCGGUGGACCCCCGGGACCCUUCCGGUGGUCCCGGUACAAUACCGAUUACCCUCGAAACUUUCCCGAUGGCCGAAACUGGACUUCCUAUAUAUAAAUCUUUGCCUCCGAACCAUUCCGGAACUCCUCGUGACGUCCGGGAUCUCAUCCGGGACUCCGAAAAACUUUCAGGUUACCGCAUACUAAUAUCUCUACAACCCUAGCAUCACCGAACCUUAAGUGUGUAGACCCUACGGGUUCGGGAGACACGCGGACAUGACCGAGACGACUCUCCGGUCAAUAACCAACAACGGGAUAUGGAUACCCAUGUUGGCUCCCACAUGCUCCUCGAUGAUCUCAUCAGAUGAACCACGAUGUUGAGGAUUCAAUCAAUCCCGUAUUCAAUUCCCUUUGUCAAUCGGUACGUUACUUGCCCGAGAUUCGAUUGUCGGUAUCCCAAUACCUCGUUCAAUCUCGUUACCGGCAAGUCACUUUACUCAUACCGUAAUGCAUAAUCCCGUGAACAAACACUUGGUCACAUUGAGCUCAUUGUGAUGAUGCAUUACCGAGUGGACCCAGAGAUACCUCUCCGUCAUACGGAGUGACAAAUCCCAGUCUCGAUCCGUGUCAACCCAACAGAUACUUUCGGGGAUACCUGUAGUAUACCUUUAUAGUCACCCAGUUACGUUGUGACGUUUGGUACACCCAAAGCACUCCUACGGCAUCCGGGAGUUACACGAUCUCAUGGUCUAAGGAAAUGAUACUUGACAUUGGAAAAGCUCUAGCAAACGAACUACACGAUCUUGUGCUAUGCUUAGGAUUGGGUCUUGUCCAUCACAUCAUUCUCCUAAUGAUGUGAUCCCGUUAUCAAUGACAUCCAAUGUCCAUAGUCAGGAAACCAUGACUAUCUGUUGAUCAACGAGCUAGUUAACUAGAGGCUCACUAGGGACAUGUUAUGGUCUAUGUAUUCACACAUGUAUUAUGAUUUCCGGAUAACACAAUUAUAGCAUGAAUAAUAGACAAUUAUCAUGAACAAGGAAAUANNNNNNNNNNNNNNNNNNNNNNNNNNNNNNNNNNNNNNNNNNNNNNNNNNNNNNNNNNNNNNNNNNNNNNNNNNNNNNNNNNNNNNGGAGAGAAGGAAUGGGGAGGAAGGAGGAAGGAAAGGGGGGCCGGCCCCCUUCCCAAUUCGGAUUGGGCUUGGGGGGCGCGCCCCCUCCUUUGCUCCCUUCUCCUCUCUCCCACUAUGGCCCAAAAUAAGGCCCAUAUACCUCCCGGGGGGUUCCGGUAACCUCCCGGUACAUCGGUAAAUGCCCGAUCUCACCCAGAACCAUUCCGAUGUCCAAAUAUAGUCAUCCAGUAUAUUGAUCUUUAUGUCUCUACCAUUUCGAGACUCCUCGUCAUGUCCGUGAUCAUAUCCAGGACUCCAAACUACCUUCGGUAUAUCAAAACACAUAAACUCAUAAUACGAUCGUCAUCGAACGUUAAGCGUGCAGACCCUACGGGUUGGAGAACUAUGUAGACAUGACCGAGACACGUCUCCGGUCAAUAACCAAUAGCGGAACCUGGAUGCUCAUAUUGGUUCCUACAUAUUCUACGAAGAUCUUUAUCGAUCAAACCACAUAACGAUAUACGUUGUUCCCUUUGUCAUCGGUAUGUUACUUGCCCGAGAUUUGAUCGUCGGUGUCUCAAUACCUAGUUCAAUCUCGUUACCGGCAAGUCUCUUUACUCGUUCCGUAAUGCUACAUCUCAUAACUAACUCAUUAGCUACAUUGCUUGCAAGGGUUAUAGUGAUGUACAUUACCGAGAGGGCCCAGAGAUACCUCUCCGACAAUCGGAGUGACAAAUCCUAAUCUCGACCUAUGCCAACUCAACAAACACCAUCGGAGACACCUGUAGAGCACCUUUAUAAUCACCCAGUUACGUUGUGAUGUUUGGUAGCACACAAAGUGUUCCUCCGGUAUUCGGUAGUUGCAUGAUCUCAUAGUCAUAGGAACAUAACCAUCAUUGAUUCAAUGAGUGAUCCCGUUAAUCAAAUGACAACUCAUGUCUAUGGUUAGAAAACAUAACCAUCAUUGAUUCAAUGAGCUAGUCAAGUAGAGGCAAACUAGUGGCACUCUGUUUGUCUAUGUAUUCACACAUGUACUAAGUUUCCGGUUAAUACAAUUCUAGCAUGAAUAAUAAAACAUUUAUCAUGAUAUAAGGAAAUAUAAAUAACAACUUUAUUAUUGCCUCUAGGGCAUAUUUCCUUCAAACUUUUUGUCCCAUACCCUUACCCUAAUAGGGUUUUUACCUACAUGGUACGUGGGUAAUGGGUACCCAUUGCCAUCCCUACUUGUAAGCCUGUAUUUGAGCUUGGUUAGCAAGUUUACACACUUUUUGUGACCAGGAAACCAAGGUUCCAUGCAUUUGUAACAGAUGCCCUUAACUAUAGCUUGUUGUAUGAUUGAGGCACUGUUAGUUGGGCCAGGCUUUCCAAGAUCAAAUUGCACCUGCCUUCUAACCUAUUCAACAAUAGUGCUCUAUACAACUCUUCUAUGUGGUUGUGAUUGUUCCAUCCUCCUUGCAAGCCAUAUUGCCUUGUGUAAGUCAACGGGGUCAUGACACUGGACAUGAUGUUGAAUGUUGGCAUUUAAGCUAGCUAUAAACCUUGUCUUGUAGUACGCAAUGUUGUAUGGCGCUGAGUGUUGGCCGACUAAAAAAGCGACAUGUUCAACAGUUAGGUGUGGCGGAGAUGCGCAUGUUGAGAUGGAUGUGUGGCCACACAAGGAAGGAUCGAGUCCGGAAUGAUGGUAUACAAGAUAGUGUUGGGGUAGCACCAAUUGAAGAUAAGUUUGUCCAACAUCGUCUGAGAUGGUUUGGGAAUAUUCAGCGCAGGCUUCGAGAAGCUCUAGUGCAUAGUAGACGGCUAAAGCAUGCGGAUAAUGUCAAGAGAGGUCGAGGUAGACCGAAUUUGACAUGGAAGGAGUCCUAAAGACAGAUCUGAAGGAUUGAAGUAUCACCAAAGAACUAGCCAUGAACACGGGUGCGUGGAAGUUGGCUAUCCAUGUGCCAGAACCAUGAGUUGGUCGCCAGAUCUUAUGGGUUUCACCUCUAGCCAAUCCAACUUGUUUGGGACUAAAGACUUUGUUGUUGUUAUUGUUGUUUUGUUGUUGUUGUACAAACCUUGUCUUGUAGUAAUCUUGAGGGUAGAGCUGGAUUAUCCAUUCUCAUUAAAUUCAUGGACUGCUCAAACUUUAGUACAUAGUCAUUGACAGUGCUUGUUUGAGUAAGAGCAUGGAAAGUUCUCGCAAUAUCACAUACAGAAGUUUCAGAGAAUCCAUCUCCAAGGUACCUACAAAAUUUGUACUAGGGCAGUGUGUUGGCAAUUAUCCCAGUUCCUCUCCACCAUUCAAUAGCAGGGCCCUUGAGGUAUGUAAUUGUAAUCUCAUUUUCCUGUUUAGCUGGUGUUCUUGUAGCUUCAAGUACAUUUCAAUAGUUUGUAUCCAAGAGUCAGUGCCAUUGCCAUCAAACUCGGGAAUGUUGUACUUUGCUGGCUUAACUAUGGCAAGAGGUCUUCUGUUGUCUUACACUUGAUCUAUUGGCAUAUUUGCUACUCUUCUUUCUUUCUGUUGAGUAGGGUCUUCCAGCUCUUCCUGAUCUAGCUGAAUAAUUUGUUGUGCAGUUCCUGGUUGAGGACCUCCAGUGGUAGCUUUUGCUUCAGUACCAUUGUUUUUGUUCUGAGCAAAAUGAGGGUGUCUAUAGGGAAUUUUGUUGCUGCCAUCCAAAUUGAGCUCUUUUCCAGUCUGCUUGUCAACAAGGACUGCAGAGCCAGCCGUUGGUGGAGUAUGAAGAUCAUCUAUUGGGUGUUUGAGAGAGCCUUGAGGGGUUUGACGUUGUCCACUGCCUUGACUAGCAUCUUGCGUAUUGGGUGUGUUAUCUCUUGGUUUAGGGAAACCUGAGAGAGAUAAACUGAUUUAAAGUUCCCUAUGGUUCCCCUAAGGUUUUCUAGAGUGACUGGAAGUUGUUUGUCAUAUGCUCUCUGAAAUCCUCAAAAUCCUGCCUGUCAUGCUCUCUAUGCUGUUGUAGGGGUUUGACAUCCAAUUGCAAGGAUUGUACUUCCAAGUUAUCCAUGGAAGAGGAGUCCAUUGGGCCAUCCAUCAUGUGAUAAGAAGUAUAAUAGGAAGGGUUUUAGAACUGGCAAGGAACCAAGUAACCUCACUACUGAUGAUCUUCGGGCAAAGGAGGGGAUUUUACAAUAGCAAGAGCUGCAACCGGACCUUAGCCGUUGAUCCUGCCACCGCCACCGCCAACGCCAUGCCACUGGAAGUACACCGGAUCUGGAGGGUGGGAUUUUACUGCCGAAGCGGUGCGUUUCUGUAACCACUUCCCAGCUCCAGACCUGUACCGAACUGUCGCCACCGCCACACGUGCCCAGGGAACACACCACGAGUAAAGGAUUUUAUGGGUCCCCCGACUCCACUUCGGCACCAGAUCUUGCGACACCGAGGAGAUGAACCAAGCUUCGAUUACCACUUGUAAGACUUGAGUCGGUCUGAAGAACUAGAUUCAAACAAGUUAACUGAAACACUCAAAUCUUAGCAACUUUAUUGGAUAAUUAUGAGAGUUUGGAUGCAAAUCAAGAGGAACCUAAGGCCGGCCAGGAACACUAGAGGCUAAAAGGAGGAAACCCUAAUACAAGAGAUGGUUCUCCAUCGAUCCAGAAACGGGGCUUUAUAGCCUUACAAAAUGAAGGAAAAAGUAAGAAAGUGAAACUGAAGCUGGUAGACAUUGUUCUCUUUGCCGGAAAGGUAAACAGCGACGCGCUCAAGAUCUACAACCAUCCGAUGCAGGAUGGACACGAUCCAGAGCAUCAAGAAACCGUGAAGCGGUACGGGCGCAGGACGAACGUCAGAUCGCAGAUGGACGGUAUUGGGAGCUUCGCCAACAACUGCGAAUUCAAACUUAACUAAAUCUAUGUCUGCAUUGUUCUAAUUCUUGAGAUGCUCGCCGUUAGGUCCUGACACCACUCUCUUUUCUUUUAGGCAAGAACAUGACACUCGUAGACAUGAUGUGCUGAUGGGCUGAGGCUUCAGCCUGCUGCCUAAAUUACACAUGGGCAUACGACAAAGACCUGUUUUUUCUUGAAGAUACAAAGACCUGUUUUUGUUCCAGAGCCAACAAACGCCUCGGAUCCCUCCGUAUCACGGCACUGUUUUUACGCGCAACGCUGGCGCAAGGGGCCGCCGGUCUUAAAUCGCCGUGCGCCCCUGUCGCCGUGCCCGUCGAAUACCGUCGCUCUCCGGCGGAGGCAGCCGAACAGGACGGUUGGUGGGCACGUACGUUCGCCGCGCGUGGGCAACGGCCAACGGGGUACGGUGGCCUUCUCUGUCGGUUUGCCUGUGAAGUGACACGCCGCCAACCGGCGGACGCGGACGCCGUCCGGGCCUUCCAUUACGGUACGUGCCCUACACACCUCAGCAGGAUCCAACAUCCCGUACCACAUUUAACAUGCCACACACAUCUCACGUUACCAUUUCUUCUCAAUUACUGCAUCAGGAUGCAACAACCGCUCAGAGUCAGAGGUCCAUGCAACCAGCGUAAGUACCAGAGUUUCGUUACAACAAGCAGAGAGAGCACUUCACGCUUCCAGGAUUAACAACGCAGGCACAUGCAGCACGAGCAGGUCAUGAUAAGGGAAAACAAAUCUCCGCGUUAAUCGGCCAUGAAAACGCCUAUAUCAAACAGACAGUUGUUUCCAUUCCCAGAAUUACAAACCAGCACUCGAGCACUCAGCACGCACACGACGACAACAAGCAAGCUAAGCUUUCUCAUAUCUACAGCAAAGCUUAUCUUUUGGUCAAACACUAGCUUCUCUCUCUGUAUACACCCGCUGCAAACAAACCGCAGGCAAAAGAGGGGGGGGGAGGCCAUUCUAUGGUGAUAUGCACUCGAAAAAAAUUACAUGAAUCAGCUACACUCAGCGGGAUCGGUCGAGCGGAUUAGGAGGGGACACACUUCACACCCAACAAAUGGUUACAGCUUUAUUACCUGUCGUAGUAGUAGUCUCCAGUGAGGAAAGAUGAGGCCGUGUCAUGUUAGUAGUGACCACCAACGUGGCGACGAUAACUGAUCUACCACUGUGUUUGGAGGCUCUGCCUUUGCUUUCGCUGCAGCAAGUGAGUUUUCAAGCUGCACUGUUUGAC
This 54795-nucleotide long non-coding RNA is filed under the name Triticum aestivum (bread wheat). RNAcentral describes it as "long non-coding RNA (TAES_LNC001125)". Lineage: Eukaryota; Viridiplantae; Streptophyta; Magnoliopsida; Poales; Poaceae. The record is from RNAcentral.